RNAcentral lists this long non-coding RNA (71802 nucleotides) under Olea europaea (common olive). Its description in RNAcentral is "long non-coding RNA (OEUR_LNC007256)". Lineage: Eukaryota; Viridiplantae; Streptophyta; Magnoliopsida; Lamiales; Oleaceae. The record is from RNAcentral.
UUAUGCUGAAAGCUAUCAUUCAACAUGGAAGACGACUGAUUGUACAAUUAUAGCAGUUGGUUGGACAGAUCAAUGUAAAAGAACUCUUAUUAAUUUUUCAGUUUAUUGUUCAAAAGGAACGGUAUUCUUAAAAUCUGUAGAUGCUUCAUAUUUGACUAUAUAUGAUUCAGAAUUUGUGAAAUUGGGAUACAAAUUGAUAUUUAGUUAACAAAAUAAUAUGAGGUUAAUUUAGUUAUUCGUGGAAAAUGGAAAAAAAUUAUUAUUCAAUGAAAAUAGAUAAUAAUAUUUUUUAUAGGAUUUGACCCGCUGGUUGAACCACUUACCCGUUGACCCACUACAUUAUCCAGGUCGGGUCUGACAAUUGGAAUCCAUAAAAAUACUUAUGAUUAUUAAUUAAUUAAUCACGCUUUAAGGUUCCUUUAACGGGUCAGGUUAGAUGUCUUUGCGAUCAAAAUUUAUAUUUGUAAGAUAAGGUGUUCAAUUUAAUCAGAAUCUCUAUGCAAUAUCAAUUUGUGAUUUAUAGUUUCAAUUAUGAUCGUAUGAUUUGUUUAAUCACAUUCUUAUUGCAUUAACAGUGGGGAACAGAUAGAAUCAAAUAUUAACUAUCAAUUGCUGAAUCGUAUGGUAGAAUAAGAUCUAUUUAUUUAUCAUUUAAACGCGUCUUCAUUUGUAUUUUUAAUUAAUUAGUGCAGUGAGUAUUCAAUAAAUUAUAGACAUUAUUAUAACUAUAUGGUGUUCGUGCAGGAACGUGACUAAGAAAAAUGUUUCGUUUCAAUUAUUUUCAGCUGAAACCAUGGACUCGUAUGUAUGGCCAAAUCAUUUGAAACUUUAGAUGUGCAGCAGCCUAAGAAAAGUUUUGUUUAUUGAGCUUCGUGAAGCUCCAAGCUAUGGCGUUUCUUUUUGGAAAUGAUAAACAUAGUACCAUACAUUUUUGCACAAAAAAUAUCUUUAUAUUAAUAACGACUUUAGCAUUAAUCGUUCUCACAGUUGUCCGUUUAGAUUACCCUUUUCUUUCUUACAAGAAUCCUGCAGAAAUUUCCCCUACAUACCAUGUAAAAGAUGAUUCAACAAAUUUUGAGCAUCGAAAUGAGAAGUGCGAUAUUUCUAUGGGAGAAUGGAUUCCGAAUCCCGAGGCUCCAUACUACACGAAUACGACGUGUAGGGCAAUACAUGAGCACCAGAACUGCAUGAAAUAUGGAAGGCCGGACGAAGAGUUCAUGAAAUGGAAAUGGAAACCCGAUGGCUGUGAUUUGCCUGUUUUCGACCCGUACGUGUUUCUUGAUAUUGUUAGGGGCAAGUCCAUGGCCUUUGUUGGAGAUUCUUUGGCUAGGAACCAUAUGCAAUCCUUGAUCUGCCUCUUAUCCAGGGUAAAUUCAUAAUUUUAUAUGUAUUUUCAUUUUUACAGUUAAAUAAGUAUGUGCCCUGGAGGCUAUCACAUGUUGAAGAUCAUUCGAUGACAAAUAGCAGGUACGAAUAGAACUGGAUAACAAAUGUAUUGUUUGAUUUCAGGUGGAGAAUCCCAUCGAUGCACAUUUUAAUGGUUCGGAGUAUUUGAGUUACAAUUUCACAAUUGCCCGGUUUUGGUCACCCUUUCUCGUGAAGUCCAAAGAGGAAAACUCUGAUCUUUUCAAUCUCUACCUCGAUGAAUUUGACGAAUCCUGGACAAACUAUAUAGAUAAAUUUGAUUACAUUAUUCUCAGUGCCGGGCAAUGGUUUCGCCGGCCAGCCAUGUAUUACGAGAAUCACCAGCUCGUGGGGUGCAACUAUUGCAAAAUUCCAAAUGUCACUAACUUUUGGAUAACUUAUGGCUACGAGAGGGCGUUCAGAACAGCUUUUAAAGCAAUAAAUACUUUAGGAAACUACAAAGGGAUAACCUUUUUAAGGACUUUUACACCAUCCCACUUUGAAAAUGGGGAGUGGAACGAGGGAGGGAAUUGUAUUAGACAAAGACCAUUUAAAAGAAAUGAGAGUAUUUUGGAAGGUAUGAAUAUGGAUUUUUACAUGAUUCAACUCAAGGAAUUUAGGGUUGCGAAAAUCGAAGGGAAGAAGAAGGGGUCGAGAUUUAGAUUGAUUGAUCCAACACGAGCUAUGCUAUUAAGGCCAGAUGGGCACCCCAGUAAAUAUUGGCGUUGGAUACCUGAGAAUGUGAAUGUGACUGAACUCAAUGAUUGUGUACAUUGGUGCUUGCCUGGGCCUAUUGAUUCGUGGGGUGAUUUCUUGCUUCAUCUGUUGAAGAUGGAUCCCUUGCUUGACCAAAGGGAUGAAUAUUAAAUUAUUGAUUAUAAUUUUCCGUGUAUGUAAUCGUUCUAAACAAAAAAUGAUUUUAUUAUAUAUCUCUAAGAGUAUGUAGUAGUGCGACCAAUAAUUAUUUUUCCAUGGAUAUUGAUUGCAAAAUUGAGGAUCGAGUAGCGGAUUCGGCAACAGCAAGUAGGUCUGGCCCUGUCGCCCUGAGAGUUGAAACAUUGUCGAUUUUGAUUCAAAUUUUAUGUGAUGAAUAUAGCAACGUCAUCUAUAUAGUUUCGUUAGUAACGUUUUCCCUAAGAGAAAUUAGUUGCAGACAAAACUGUUGACAAAAUUACUUAAAAUUGUAAUUUUCUGAAGAGAACUUUGUACUUUUAAAAAAUGAAAUUAUAAAUUUUUUAAGUAACGAACUGAUGGUCCAACCAAUGACCUGAUAACUUAGGGGAGUCUGAUAACUAUCAUGUACGCAUUUGUAUUUAACUUGUAAAAGUGGUCAAUUUGCUAAUUUCUUCCAUUUGCUAUUUUUCUCUCCCCUUAAGAAAGGGGCUUCACAGGCAAAUUCCUUGUAUAAUUACCCUUUCUUAUAUUUUAUUAGUGGAUUCUUUAGAAUUCCAAGGGUGGUCUCGAUUCGAUUAGGAAGAUUUCAAAUCAUAACAUUAAAAGUGGUUUGAAAUUUUUUUAAAUCAAAGUUAAACCACAUUUUUUUAUUUGGUUCAAUUUAAAAUCAUAAUUUAUAGUUAAAGAAAUAAUAAUAUAAAUCGAACAAGUUAAAUCAUAAAUAUCAGUUUAAAAUCUCAUGUCAAAAUAUAGAUAUUAGUAUGAUUACAAAUAUUACAAAUCGAAGUUUUGCACUUCGAAUCAUUACAAUGCAACAACAUGAUAGAAACAUUUUAGUUCUAACCUUUUAGUCGAUAUUAAUUGGUGGAACAUCAACAAUCAAUUCAUUAAAUGCAAAAUGUAUUCUUCUAGAGAAUGCAUAAUCCAAACACCAGUUGAUAUUUAAAUAACUAACACAUCUUUGGUAAUUUGGAAAACAGUCUUGUACUUAUCUACAUUCAAUCUGAUUUUGUGAUUUCGUUGUUCGACCCUAGUUACAAGUGGCACCUCAAAAUCGAGCUUUCUAUUCAAAAAAAAAAAAAUACAAGGGAUUAUUAGUUGUUUUGAUAGAUUGGAGUAUAUUUUUUCGAUUAAACUACAAAAAUAAUUUUCAGUAUUUUAUUUAAAAAAAAAUUGAAAAACCAAAAACGCAAAGUCUAGGCUCCAGCAAUCAUGUAUAGUUAUCGUAUCUUGGCAUCAAAAUGAAAAUCUGCAAUCCUUAAUUCGUUCUCAAUGAUCCUAACGGGCUCGUGAUAAAUAUAAAAAUGAUUCAUUAGUUCAAAUGGUUUCAGGGCAAAUCCAAACGAUUUGAGUUAGGGGGUCAAAAAUAAAAAUUAUAGGUAUCUUCUAAUAAGAAAAAAAAAAGCUAAACAAUUUUAUUUUUUAUUUUUUUCCAAAAUCUAGAGGGUCAAUUGAACCUAUAAACCCCUCCCUAGGUCCACCCCUGGACUUAAGCAUUGUCAAUCACAAUAAAGGUGUGUUGAAGCAUUAUUCUAAAUCGAACUAUGGAAAAUGGCAAUGAAUAUUGAAGACAAUUAUAUUAUUGAUUGAUAAUCUUUACACCCCUAUAAGCCUCUAACUAUAUUGCAAGCAAGGAACAAAAAAAAGCAAACUUCUAAAAAGGGGAAAUAUAAAUUUACCUAGGUCCUGUUCGGUAGUAAUUUUGAGAAUUGAUUUUUUGACUGUUAGAGAGAAAAAUGGAUCCCACUUAUGAGUGAAGAAGUAAAAAAUGAUGAUUGAUUUAGGAAAGUAACAAUCAAAAUAUUAAUUUUUUGGGAAAAAUCAGAACCACAUAUAGAUUGAUAUAAAUCCACGCAUCUCAUAAGUUGAGUAAAGUAAAAUUGUCAACUAUAAUUUAAAAUGGGAUUUUUUUUUCUUUUUUUUUUUUAAAUGAUUUAGGUAGCUUGCAAGUGCUUAUUUUAUACAUGCACCUAUAAAUUUGUUUUUAAUGAAUGUAUUUUAAUGCUUAAAUUACAAUAUGAUGACAUGUUGGACCAUAUUAUUCUUUACGUAUAAACAUCAGAAAACGUAUUUAUAAAUAAGGAUAAAUAGAUGCUAAAAAAAUUGUUAUCAUUUGUGAAUUCUUCAUAAUAUAUGAAUAAAACGUAAUUUAACGAAAAGUAAGAAUCAAGUGUAAUGGGCCAACCAAUGUUAACUGGGCUGACCGUGUGCUCUGAUCGAAUCUGCAGAUGAAAUGAUUUUUCGCAAUUGAUGCCUUUCAAUUUGAUGUCAAUUAUUUGGGGUGCAGUUAUUUUUAGACUUCAUUCACACUUUAAUAUUGCAAUAUUAUUUGAAAUAAAAAUGUUAAUUAGUAAAACUUGAAUAUUUUAUUAAGACUUUGUUUGUCUACCAUUUUUUCACAUUUUACCACAUUAUUUUUUCAACAGUACUCAUUUUCAACCACAUAUUCUUCAUUAAAAUAAUAUUACACGUAAAUCAAAAACUUUUCCUUCUUUUUUAACCACAUAUUUCAAUAUCAAUCACUAUUCCAUAAUACAUUACUUUCAAAUAAUGGAACGCAAACAAGCACUAAAAUGGUGCAUGAGGUGCACCUUCCACAUGAUUUUUCGUUUGACAAGUUGGCUAUCCAAACAAGAAAAUGCAGAAUAAUUUUUCCCUUGCGUGUUCAACAUCAUUGCCAACAAAACAAAUUUCAUUUUCUUGUAUUUCUUAGUUAGUUCUCCCUUACUUUUCACGAUAUUUGUCUAUGUCUAAUUAUCAAACAAAGAAAAGGCCAAAGAAGCACGUGGGUUAAGCAUACCCCAAUUACAAGGGAAUUUUGAUGUGAUAAACAGUUCCAAUACAAACAACUAUGAGUUGCCAAUUGGCGUUGGAACCAGCUCAUGACCACCCAAAUUCAAGCAAAUAGCCAAGAGAGUAUCAUGCAAAUUCAAGGAUAUCUUUUUCCAAGUUUACCUGUAAUAAUAUUCCAUUCCUGGCAUUGCAAUUCAAAUUAAGUUUAUAAAUUUGUUUAAAUGCAAUUACACUUCUGAUUGUAUUGUAUAUAACAAGAUUCAUAUAAAAACAUUAAGAAUAAAAUAUUGUAAAAAAGGAAAAAUACACCAUCACAUAGUCAAAUCUACAUGUAUACAAAUGUGUAAUGUCGUAUAAGCAACAAAAAUACAGAAAUAAUUUAGAGAAUCUUCAUAAUGGAGGUGUUUUUGCCUUCUUUUGUAAGGUACGAAUAUAUAAAGAUAAAAAGAUGGCAAUUCCAAACUAAACACCAGAGUUCAAAAUGAAGAGUAAAGAAGAACUACUUCCCAGUGGGAAGGACAUUUUGUUCAAGAGCUUAUUCUUCCCAAUCCUAGGGUUGGUUCUUAUCACUGCUCUCUAUUUCUACUUACCACACAAUUUAUCAUCCCUAAUGAGUGAUCUAGACAUGAGGUCCAAUGAUUCGGUGUCCCUGAACAUGAAUAGCACUACAGCCACAGCCCUUCAUCCUUCCAGUAACGAUUCAUCAUCAGUAACCUCAGAACAGAAAUGUAAUAUAUUCCAAGGAGACUGGAUUCCAUUUCCAGAGGGACCCUAUUACACUAAUGAAACUAAAUGUGUGAUAGAUGAUAGACAGAACUGUAUGAAGUUUGGUAGACCAGAUUCCGACUUCAUGAAAUGGAGGUGGAAGCCAAGUGAAUGCGAGUUACCUCUCUUCGAUGCCAAGAGGUUCUUGGAACUUGUCAGAGGUAAGACAUUGGCUUUUGUUGGCGACUCCCUGGCAAGAAAUCAAAUGCAGUCCUUGGUGUGCCUCUUAGCUAGUGUAAGUCCUUUAUCUACAAAAAUCAGUAUACAUGUACCUAUACACAAACACAAACACAAGCAUACACAUAUUUUUUAGUGAGUGUAGAAUCUCUACAUGUAUAUGUGUAGUUGCUUGAACCUACACACAUAUCUUGGCUAUGACUGCAAUUUCAAUAUUUGUUCUCUGCCUAAUUCCUGAGAUCCUAGGCAGCCAACCCUGUGGAUGUUUCCACCACGACAGACACAAGAUUCAGGCGGUGGCUCUAUACUGAGUACAACUUCACAUUAGCUGCAUUCUGGUCUCCUCACCUGGUUAGAACACAAGAUUAUGGUCCUGAGGGCUAUAAUGCAAGUCAUCUGAAGCUUUAUCUUGAUGAGGCUGAUGAAGCCUGGGCAAAGCAGACUGAAAAUGUUGAUAUUUUUACAAUCUCGGCAUCCCAAUGGUUUUUCCGACCAUUUAUCGGCUAUGAAAAAGGUCAAAUUGUUGGAUGCCAUAUGUGCAGCGAGAGAAAUAUCAGAAACUUUUCAACUUCCUACGGAUACAAAAUGGCUUUCCGGACAGCUUUCAGGACAUUUCUGAGCCUUGAAAACUAUAAUAACAAACUUGUGUUUCUAAGAACAUUCUCUCCAGCGCACUUUGAGAAUGGGGACUGGGACAAAGGAGGAAGUUGUGAGAGAACAAAACCAUUUAAAAAGCAGGAAAUGAAGUUAGAGAAGUAUGUCUUGGAUCUUUACAUGACUCAGGUGGAAGAGUUUAAGGAAGUCCAAAAAGAAGGGGAAAAGAAGGGCUUGAGGUUCAGAUUGUUAGAUACUACUCGAGCCAUGGUUCUGAGGCCAGAUGGGCAUCCCAACCACUAUGGGCACUGGCCACAAGAGAAUAAGACACUGGCUGACUGUGUCCACUGGUGUUUGCCAGGCCCUGUUGACACUUGGAAUGAAUUUUUACUACAUAUCUUACAUACUGAAGAGCCAAAUUUGGCUGGCAAAAAGCUAAAGAAAAAUGAGUGAGAAAAUUAUAAGGGCAUUUAUGACGCACACAGAGAAAAGAGCCUGAUAUUCAUCUCUACAGUGACUAUCUCAAGAAUGAAAACCAUACAUCGCAGUUACUUCAAAAGCCUCAAUUGCUGCUACAUCAAGCAAUAAGUUGCAUUAUGCUCUUGUGAUUUUACAACAUUCUUGAAGUUAAUGUUUAUGAUACCACAAGAGGAGACAAAAGAGACCUAAAGAUAGCUAUUUUCCCUACCACCAAAAAGUAUGUAAUUACAGCUAUUACAAUUGUCAGAAGUAACUUCAUUCAGCUUAGAGCCUAUAAUUCCAUAUCAAACACAGACCAAUCAAUCCCUCGAGUCAUAUUAGAUCAACAUGCAUUAGCAAAGGAACAUGACAUAUCAUAUGAAUUAUGAACAAAAUAAUUUAAGAUUAAUUUCCACACUUGAAUCUAUGUAGGAUUAUCCAGCUGCCAUAAAAUCUUCCUUUUCGCAUUUGAAUUCGAUUCAAGUGGUACUACUUGAGAAAAGAGCGCCUAGAGUUGUUGAUCCCGAUCAGAUAAAAGUCAUGAACUUAUCAACAACCCCACCCCCUGAACCACAAGAGAGAGAGAGAGAGGGGGGAUGUAGGUUAUGAGAGUGCUCAAAGAAGAAUUGAUGGACAUUAACAAAAGGAUAAAAAGGCCACAAAGGUGGGACAAAAGAACCUUCAAGCCAUCAUAUUUCAAACUUGCUCCGUCUUAUUGUUCUGCAGUUCUGCUUGGCCAUUUUUUCCUUUAUCCCACUCUUAUGUUUUGAAACGAAACCAGGCUUCUAAUGCCAAUUGCCAAGUAACUUAACAUAGUAGCAGAAUCAUAAAAUUGCAGGGGUGCGAAAAACGAGGGAAAAAUAAUUAUAUAGCUAGAGUGCACAUCAAAAGAAAAGUUUCAUCCCCUUUGUUAAAUUGAGCCAAUAGUUUGACUAAGCACGCCAUGAGUUUUUGUACAAUCAGGAGUAGAAUAUAUACAUAAGAAUGUAUUGACAUCAAAACCAGAAAUGAGACCAACAAUAAAGAGAAAUUUGGUAUGAGGGAGGGCAUUUAGAAUGAAAUUUUAAUGAAUACCAAUACAUGCAGAGCUAAAAUGUAAAGCACAAAAGCCGACCUGAGUAGCAUCAACCUCUGCAAACUGUCAUUUCGACCAGCUAUAUGGAAAGGAAGCUUGUGGUCAGGAUCAACAGUGUAAUUAGAAGAAACAGGUCCACUGUCAGAGCUGCUUCUUCCAAACCUAUUCCUUGCUGUAUUCAGAUCUGUGUUACUCGUCUGGAUUCUUUUCCACAGUCCAUUUAAUCUUUCAAACUCAAUCUCCCUCAGAUGAAUUUCACUGAUAAGGCCUUCUGCUUGAGCCUGAAAUGCAAAGAAGAAAAAGAGAAACUAGUAUAGUAAUUUAAUUUUCUACCAGAUGUCACUUUAAAGAACACAAAUGGAUAACAUCAUUACAGGAGUUGCCAAAAGAAAAGCUUAUUACAUCAUUUAUAUUUAGAUAAAAAAAAAAUUCUAACCUGCUUUGCUGCAAGUUGUUCAAUUAGGCUGUGAAGCUGUUUAUCCAAAGCCUUCUCUCGCUGAGCUGCAUGGAAUUGCAUCAAAUUUAAAGCACGCCGAAUAUAUCAAAAAUGAUACGUGCUAAGAUUCCAACUUAAAAUGGAAGUAAAUGGGGCAUGUCCAAAGCAGAUAUAUGCUCGUCAAUUUAGCAUGCUACAUGCUAGGAGUUGAAUACUUGCAAUCCACAUUCCAUGCUACAUAAAAGAUGAAAAAUUAUACCAGGAGUUGGUUGCUUCAAUGCAUUAGCUUGAACCUCCGCCCACUUUUUCUCCAUGUCUUGAACAAUUUCUUCCAUCAAAGCCUAAGAAGAAACAAAAGAUCCAUCAGUUUAAAUUCACUUCAUACAUAUAUGGUGAAUCAGACAAUGAAUCACUCAACGGACCAGUUCUUUUUUCUUCAUCUCUAACUUCUCCAACAAUGAUAGUCUAGGAGCUUCUGCGUCGUCUAGAGAUUCAAUGACUGAUUUGGAUUCAAUAAACAGUUCAUUUGAUUCACCAGGCUGACUUGCAGUCACUACAGCUUUUGCUUGUUCCAGCUCUGCUAUUAAGUUCUCUUCAAUCAAGUCCAUUUCCUGGAAGACAAAAACUAUUAACAUAUAAAUUUGAUAAUGAAGAAAUUUUAGGAUAAAGUAACUAAUUUAAAGAUAAAUCAUAAGGCCAAAACAACUACAAGUUGACUUCAAUUAGAAAGUUUUCAAACACAAAGACGUGAAAAUGUAGAUUUGCAUAAUAUCUGGAUCCACACAUUGUCUUGACUCACCAGCAUGGACAUGCUCUAUAACAAGACAAUCUGGAGUUAACUUAGGUUGUUUUUUUCAUUUUUAUUUGCUAUAAACUAGUGUAAAUGCAUGGGCGUAUGAAGCAGGGAAAUCAUUUAAGCGCAUAUGAAGGAGCUCGUGAAUUUCAAGAAAUAGGCAAAAAAAACUCAUUGAUUCACACAGAAUACCGAGAAUUUAAACUCGUUCAUUCACGUAGAACAAUGAGAAGCCAGAAAUAAAAAAACUUAAUUUUUUAUUCAAUAAUUCACCCUUCUAAAAGACCAUAGUGGUACCAUUUAUACAAUUCAAAAUGUAGCCUAAUCUGAUCCUAAAAUGAAAAAGUAGAAUCCUAAAUAAAGAAAAUUAUCAAAAGCAACUUGUUUAUUAUCAUAGAAUCCUAGAGGGAAGAAAAAAAAUCCUAUAAAAAAUGAAAAUUACCAGAAACAACUAAUGUAGUGGUUUACUUCCUCUUAGCUGCGUCAAUAGCAAGAAAACUAACUUAUCAGAUAGAUAAUACAAGAAAUAGGACCACAUAUUAAUACACAAAUAAUGCACCGUUUGCAAAAAAAUGUGAAAUGAUUUUUUUCUACACUCAGAUGAAGAAAUAAAGAGGAAUCAUAAAGUAAGGCCAUGGGUAAAUUAAUAUAACAACUUCCAUUCUUUUAAAAAAUGCUGACUGUCAGGUAAUGUUAAUGUUAACUCGAAAAGGAUAUAAGUAUCUCAUGUAGGGCCUUUCUAGCAGCGAGUCAUUUCUGGUAGUAGUUAGAAUUAGAAAGCAAAACAAAUAUAAUCAUGUUGACAGCAAAUGAUAACUAAUAUUACAACAGAAAAAGUGUGUUGAAAAACCUCCCAUAGCAUAUUAUAAUAAAAUCACUGAGAACUCUUGAAGAUGUGAACCUAAGCAAUUUUUCACACACCACAAGAUAAUUCUGUUUUUGGCAUUUUCAUGAGGCAAGUGGCAUAGGCAAGCCACAGAUGUAACAGUAUUGUGGUCAAACAAGGAAGUGAAGUUCUAAAUGUGAAUAGAAAUCACCUGAUGAUUGAAAUAUUCAAACUUUACUAGGAUUGACGAGUAGAAAAUAUUGCAGUCAUUUCUAGUUUUAUUUACCUUAUUUUUGCAGUAACCAUGAAAGAGUCAAAUCUUCUUUCACUCUCUUUUGCCACCUAAAGUCAUUGAAGCACAAAAGUUUUGACCUCUCAAAGGGAAACCCUAGAACAUGAGAAGCAAAUUGUGAUCUCGUGUCAUAGUUCAUACCUAUCAAAUUGAACACUAUCUGAACACAAAAUCUGCCUUAAUCACUUCUUUUAGACCUUGAUACGAUAUUUACUACUGCAUAUGUAAACAGCUUCAUUUCAACUUUUCCCACAGUUGUCCUAUAUCGGACCAGGUGAUGAUUGAAUAAAUCUUGAGUUGCAAAACAUUUUUGAUGGUAAUGAGAUGAAAAUUAUUUGGUCAAAUUGUAAUAGUGGAAUCCUAUUGCUUAGAAACCAAUGCUUAAAAAGUGAAAUCGAGAAUAAGGCAUUUUACCUUAAGUGAGAUGAGGCAUAAACCUCAAGGUCUAUACCAAAUAAAAGUCAUAAAACUAUUGAAAUGCAAAAUAAGAGCAUACCAAACCAUAAACAAUCUUCAAAUCCACAACAUAACAAUUUAAGUAUGCAAACAAUGAAAAGAAAAAUAUAUAAAGUAACAAAAAAAGAAACCUUUAGUUAGUGACUAGUGGAGUAUUCUCGAAGCGAGUCUAUAAGAAACAUAACCUUUUGAUGUUAUAAUAGUGAUAGUGGGCUACUCCCAAAGUUGGUCAAUAAGAAUUUUAAAUUUUUUUGCGAGCCCGUCCAUAAAGCGAAGUAAAGAGCGUAAAAUAUUAAGUAGCGCACACCUCCAAAAACUGCCUCAGAAUUAGCGCCUCGACGCAUUCUUUGUUCACCUCCCUUUGAGGUGGGCGUCAAGGUGAGCCUCAAUUGGGUUAUUUUAAACCAUGUACAAAAAUAUUGGUGAAUUUAUUGAAUGUCGUCCUCGUGUGUGGAGGAACUAAUAGGAAUAUGUAGAGUUCAAAGAUUAAAAGUCAACAACAAUAGCUCUCUAAGCCUCUGUCCUCAAUUUAGUUGUUGACGCUGAUGUAACCAGAUCAUCAUUAUCCCUAUAGAGUUGAAGUCCAGUCUAGCUCAUGUCCCAAUAUCGUUCAUCAAAGGCAGGAUGAAGGGAACCAAGAAUCAGACUAAAAGCAACUAUAUUAGAAUUAAAUCAAGUUUAUGGGUUAGGAAGAAAUUUUAAUUAACAUUAUUAAUCUAUUAUAUCUAAGUUACAGUUGUAUGGGCAAAAAUGAAGCAUAAUAUAAAAUGACAAGAAAUAUACAUCCACAUUAUAUAGGAGUUUAUCUUCUUUUCGUCAUGGAAUUACUUCAAAUUUUGCUUUUGAAAGAGCUCAUGAGAACUUGUACAGAUAACAAAGUAAAGAUUGAUUAUGCAGAAAAGAAGUAUUUUACACUACACACUGUUACAGAUAUUGGUGAAUCAGCAGAGCAACUAAAAGGAAAAACAAUAUUUCUGAAAACUCGCAAAAUCUGUAAAGCUUUGGAAACACCUCUAACCUUCAAUUUACUUUGAAGUGCAUCUGCUUCCUGCAACUUCUCCUGUAUUUUAUUUUCACAACUGGAUAUAGCAUUUUCAUACUCAGUGUUUUCUUCCUGCAACCUAACUUCUCUUUGCUGUACCUGAGAGAAUAAUUAUAACUAACAAUCAGUUUUGCACAUCCACGAACCAAAAAGUAACUUAAGGAGGGUAUUCCGAAGAAAAAUCCCAUUGUACAAUAAUGAAUCAUUUCAUUAAGUAGUGAGGGAGAAAAAAUGGAAAAAGAAACCAAACCACAAAAAGAAGUUCGUGAAUCACAGUUUUGAAUAUGCUGAAAAUUACUGCAUUGCAAUACUUGGCAUUAUGCUACGAGCUUCGAUACCUUCUCGAAUUAUUUAAAUUCGUUUGAUUUUCACCUUUUCUGCCCCUGAUUAAGUUGAUUUUCAAUUUGAAACGUACUUUAGAAUUGUGGAAAUACAAGCACCAACACAAGAAAAAGAUCAAUUUCCCAAAACCUUAGGGUUAUGUCUAACUACUACGUCGUGUUAGCAAAUUGUAAGAAGUAAGAACCAUCCACGCCAAAAUUCUCACAAAUGUAUAGGAACGAAAUUUUAUUAAAUACACCAAUACCCAGAGGAAUGAGACUAUUUUUUUUGUAAUAAAAUCAGGAGGGUUGAAGGAAGGACCUGUUGUUUAGUAGUGGAGUGGGCAUUAAGUUGGAGAGCGAGGGCGGCAUUGGAGGCCAGAGAGUGCGCGUGGAGGUGUGGCAGGCGUUGCGAGAUGUCCGGAGGAGGCAAUCUCUGCCGUAGAUCUUGGAUCGAACGAUUUAAAGAAGCAGCCUUCCGAUCCAGUUCUUGAACGUAUGUCUGUUGUUCGGGGGUGAAAAUUAGUGGAAUAGAAUCUGGGUAGUUUUCUUCGUCGGUCCUCCCUCCGCCAUUGCCUCCCACCACGUCCGCCGCCCAUGCUAGUAGCCCCGCCAUCUUCUUUCCCGGAGAUGAUUUUUGGGAUCGUUUGUCUGAGCUCAAAAAACGGGUUUGCUGAAAGGGUAAAUAUCCACUCACAAAUUUAUUUAUUUAUUUAUUUUUAUAUUUUUUGUAUACCACAUUUUAAUCCUCCUUUACAUUAAAAGAGGGAAUGGCUGCAUCACUAUUCACCUCGGGAUAGAGGUUUCACACAUAUCUGAUUUUGUACUGUAAGUGAACCUGUUAUACAUUAUUCAUACAAAAAAAAUUCCUGGAGAGAAUGAUGAAAUUUGAUUGCAUUAAUUGUUGCUACAUUUGUUGACUAUUCAUGCAAAAAAAAUAAUAAUAAAAAUUUAAAAAAAAAAAAAUAUAUAUAUAUAUAUAUAUAUAUCUUUGGCGACAAUAAUGAAAUUUGAUUGCAUUAACUGUUGCUGCUUUUGUUGACUUUAUUCAACCAUCUAAUGUCGGUUACUGUAGCUUAAUUUCAAAAAUAUCUUCUGACUUCGUUGAAUGCUGUACCUUUCAAAAAUGAAAUAAUAUAAAUGCGAAAAUUGUUCUGUAUUAUUACUUUCUUGUAAAUCUUCUUCCAACAAAGUUAAGACACUAUUUCGCUCUCUCAAACGGAAGGACAAGAAAUCUGCAAGUAAAUUAAAUAUAUAUAUAUAUAUUUUGUCUUCUUAGUCAUUUCUUUAUAAUCAGUUUGGGUUUCACACAUGUAAUAGGUUAUUUUUUCUUAAUUGUGUUUAUUCAGUAUACUAACAUUUUAUCUUAGUUUUCUGAUGUCAUUUUAACAAUAUUUUGACACAUACUAAUGAGGCCGAUAUGCAUGUACUGAAGAAAAAAAAGUAUGAAAUAUCUACGAUUAAUUACAAUUUCCUCAAAAUAAAUAAUACAGAUAUAAAUUGACGGGUUAUAUAUCAAAUUCAUUAUAUAUUGUUUGAAUUUUAAUUAUAUAAAUUUAUUUAUUUUGUUCGAAAGUAUUGGAAUGAUUAUUAUAUAAUUUUGUUCUUGUAUGUCAACACAGAAAUUUUUUUUUAUUCAUUCAUCUAAUUGACUUUACUUAUUUUUAUAAUUAUAUAUUGUUUUUUUAAUAUUAUUUUUCUCCAUUGUUGAAAGCUUUUCCACAUAUGUUUGAUUAUCAUUAAUAUUUAUAUCUUUAUGUAAUUAAUGUUAUAUAAUUAUUAUAGUGUUAGAAAAUUUGAACAGUUUAAUGUCUUUAAGAGUUUAUUGUAACUAAUUAAUUUAGUCUUCGUUUGUGAAUAGUUUAAUAUAUUUGCUAAUAAUGUUCUUCAAUUUUUUUACAUCAUGCUCCUUUCAUUGUAGUUGAAAUCUAUAAUAAUUAUUUUCCUAUUAUAAUGGAUAUUUUGGAAACGUUUAUUGAUGAAGACCGUGUUAUUAUUAACUUUGACAUUGCGUCCGAAAGUAGAAAUGAGUCACAUAGAGCGUUCAUUCGUAACAACGAGUUCAAAAGGAGAAAGAGAGACGAAAAAAACUUAGAAAUAAUUGCAGUGAUUAUCAUAAAAGGAAAAGUGAUCCUAUGUUAUCUGAAAAGAAUGAUUUUAUCGAUCGCCACUUAGAUGAAUCUAUAAUGCAUCAACAUCCUUACGCUUCAACUUUAGAUCAAGAAAUGCAUAAUAUUGUCAGUUUUGAAUUAAGAGAAACUUUCAAAAGAUUGAACAUACCAUCUACUGCAUAUGUAUUACCAACAUUAAGCUACUGUAAAUAUUGUAAUGCAUGCAAAUUUUAUUGAGAAAGUAAAGGUUUUUGUUGUUCUGAUGGAAAAGUUAAACUCUUUAUAUGUGACUCACCAGUUGAAUUAUAUAAUUUAUUUACUUCUAAAGAACUACAGUGUACGAAAUUUAAAAAAAUUGUAAGGGGAUAUAAUAAUCAUUUUACUUUCACUUCAUUUAGUGUGAAGUACGAUAAGGAACUUUUUAAAAUGUAUAAAGGUAUCUAUACAUUUAGAGUUCAAGGACAAAUACAUCAUUAUGUAAGUGACCUUUUGCUGAAAAAUAAUACACCUUCUUAUAUGAAAUUAUAUUUUUACGAUACAGAAAAUGAAGUUCAAAAUCGUAUGAUCAUUUCAUCAAACUUUGUUGAAUCUACUUUAAUUGCUUUAAUUGAAAUCUUAAAAACAAAUCCAUAUUGUAAAUUUCUUAGGUCGUUAAGUGAUGUCACUAACUUGCAUGAUCAUCAAAUACAAAUACGAUGCGAUCCAGGAUUUGAUCAAAGAGUUUUCAAUACUCCUACAACAUUUCAAGUAGCUGCUAUAUGAGUCGAAAAUAAUGAAAAUACUAAUGUUCGUACUCGUGACAUUUCUAUAUACAGCCAUUCUGACGAUUCACACAAAGUUCAUUACUAUUAUGGGUGUUAUGAUCAAUUGCAAUAUUCGUUACUAUUUUCGUAUGGGAAAUCUGGUUGGCAUGAAGGCAUUGAGAGAUGCAGAAGUAUAUACUUUCAGCCUCAACAUAUGUUGAUAUCUGAUGUUAUUCUUAACACAGCUACAUCUGCAACUGAAAUUAUCGAAAAAGAGAAUGAAGGUUUGCAAAUAUAUCUUCUAUUAGAGUUCUCUAUAUUUUUUUAGUGUCUUAUUUUAUCAAUAAAUGUUGAAUUUAGUUUGUAUUUGGGUUCUGUAGGGCUCAGUGAAGUGAAGAAACGUACUCAGGUAUCUUGUCGAGAAUACUAUUCAUAUAAAUUACAAAUUAGGCCUUCUGGUAAAUCUGUGUUACUUCACGCUGGUAGAUUAUUUCAACAAUAUGUUGUAGAUAUGCACGUUAAGAUUGAAACUUUCAGGUUAGACUAUUUUCGUGAUAAUCAGAAACAAAUUCGUGUUGAAUUUUACCAAGGUAUUGUAGAUAGUGUAAAAAAUGGGGAAACUAGAGGAUGUAAAGUUGGAAGAAAAUUUGUUUUACCACAAUCUUUUACAUGUGGGCCUCGUGAUAUGCUAAGAAGAUAUAUGGAUAGAAUGACCAUUGUACAAUGUUAUGGAAAAUCGGAUAUAUUUUUAACUUUAACAUGUAAUCCAAAUUGGCUAGAGAUUAAACAAGAACUAAAGAACAAUAACGAAGUUCAAAAUCGACCUGAUUUAAUUGUUCGUAUAUUUAGAGCAAAAUUAGAAGAAUUGAAACGUGAUUUAUAUAAAGCAAGUAUUUUAGGGCCUGUUAUUGCAUAUAUAUGUGUGAUUGAAUUUCAAAAAAGAAAACUUCCUCAUGCUCAUAUGUUGUUAAUAUUUAACUCUAAAAAUAAAAUCAUUUGUGCUGAAGAAGUUGAUAGAAUUGUGUUAUGUGAAAUUCCUGACAAAACGAAAUACCUUCAUCUUUAUUCUGUUAUUGUUAGACACAAUAUGCAUGGUCCUUGUGGAAACUUGAAUCCGAAAAAUACAUGCAUAGAGGGAAAUAAAAGUUCUAAAAAUAAAUACCCUGGAGAUUUUUGUAAUAUUACUUUAUUUGGUCAGGAUUCAUAUCCGUUGUAUAAGCGUCGUGAUACUAAUAUUUCUGUUCAAGUUAGAGGCAAAAUGUUAGACAAUCGAUGGGUUGUACCAUACAAUCCUUAUUUAAGUGCAAAAUUUGACUGUCAUAUUAAUGUCGAAGUAUGUUCUUCUAUCAAAGCUGUCAAAUAUUUGUACAAGUAUGUUUACAAAGGACAUGAUCGUAUUAAUUUUUCAGUUCACACGAAUGAAAUAGAGAAAGAAAUAGAUGAAAUUUCUGCUUAUCAAUCUGAUAGAUGGAUAUCUCCACCAGAAGCUAUGUGGAGGAUUUUCUCGUUCAAUCUAUCAGAAAUUUGUCCGACAGUCUAUUCUUUACAGCUUCAUAUCGAAAAUCAUCAGUAAGUAAUGUACGACAAUGAAGAUAAUUUAUAUACUGUUGUUCAUAAUGAAGAUACAAGAAAAACAAUGCUAACAAAAUUCUUUCGAAUGAAUGAAGAAAAUGAGUUUGCGCAUACACUUUUGUACCGGGAUUUUUCAACACAUUUCGUUUGGAAUACGAACAAGAAAGUUUGGACUCGCAGAAAGAAACAGGUUGUUAUAGGACGAAUUGUUACAGUAAAUUCAUCUGAAGGAGAACGAUAUUAUCUUCGUGUUCUUAUGAAUCAUAUUCGAGGUCCAACAUCAUUUCAAGAUUUAUGAAUUUACUGUUGUCACGUAUCGAGAAGCAGCACUUCUACAUAAUUUAUUGAGUGAAGAUAACCACUGUGAAGAAUGUCUAUUUGAAGUUAUUAUUUAUGAAAUGCCUAUUUGUUUAAGAUACCUUUUUGCUACUCUUCUUGUGCUCUGCAACCCUAAUAAUUCAAAGUUAUUGUGGAAUAAAUUCAAAACUUAUAUAAUUGAUGAUUAUGUAUAUAGAAAUAUACCUUCACAUGUUGUUGAACUACGAGCUCUAGAGGAUAUUAACUAUAUUUUAGAAUCCUAAGGCAAAAAGAUAAGCGACUAUAAAAUUGUACCAUUCAAUGUAGAUAUAAAUGAGAAUGAUAAAUUAAGAAGAAUGGUUGAAGAUGAAACAACAAAUUUGAAUCUCGAAGGAGGCCACGUUUGUGCAUCAAGCUUAAAUGACAAAUAACAAUUUGCAUAUGAUACAAUUAUGGAAAAAAUAACAUCGGGAUCAAGUGUUACUUUUUUCAUUGAUGGUCCUGGCGGCACAUGUAAAACCUAUUUAUAUAAAGUAUUACUAACUGCCGUAAAUUCUCAAAAUUCUAUUGCUUUGGCAACUGCAUCUUCGGGGGUAUUAGCAUCUCUUUUACCUGGAAGUUGAACUGCUCAUUCAAGGUUUAAAAUUCCUUUAGAAAUAAUUGGUGAAGUGAGGUGUUCAGUUAGUAAGCAAUCAGUUUUAGGAAUUUUGUUGAAAAUGUGUAAGUUAAUAAUCUAGGAUGAAGCACCUAUGGUAAAUCGAUAUACUGUUGAAGCUGCAGAUAAAAUGCUAAGAGAUAUUAAUGAUUGCGACUUGUCUUUCGGUGGUAAAGUUAUAGUUCCUGGAGGGAAUUUUCGACAAGUUCUACCAGUAGUACCAAGAGGAAAAAAAUAAGAUAUAAUGAUAGUUAGCUUAGUUUUCUCUUAUCUAUGACCCCUAUUCAUACAUCUGCCAUUAGUUGAAAAUAUGAGGGCGAAGUUUGAUCCUAUUUUCUGUGAUUACUUGUUAAAAAUUGGAAACGGGUCAGGGCAACAUCAUACUUUUAAUUGCAUUCAGCUUCCAAAUGAUAUUAUCGUACCAUUCGAAGGCUAAAUAAAAUCUUUAAAAACUUUGAUCUGUCACAUUUUUCCAAAUAUAAAAGCAUAUGCUGACAAUUUACAUACAAUGACAAAUCGAGUUAUUUACAAUGACAAAUCGAGUUAUUCUUACGCCUAGAAAUGAAUGUGUUGAUCAUAUUAACAAAAUUUUAUUGAAACGGAUUAUUGGUCAAAUUUUUACAUACUAUAGCUUUGAUGAAACAAUCGAUAAAUCAGAACAGAGUUUUGAAGAAGAUUUCUUGAAUAGUUUAACUUCAAAUGGUAUUCCGCUACAUGAAUUGAACCUUAAAAUAAACUGUCCUGUCAUGUUAUUGCGAAAUAUCAAUCCUUCCAAAGGUUUAUGCAAUGGAACACGACUUACUUGUCGAAAAUUUGAGAAAAAUGUAAUUCUUGCUAAAAUUACAUAUGGUGAAUAUUGUGGAAAGUGUGUUUUUUUUACCAAGAAUCCCUUUUAUUCCACUUCAAAGUGAUCAAACUUCGAUUCCAUUUAAAAGAACUCAAUUUUCGAUUAGGCCAUGCUUCGCAAUGACGAUAAACAAAGCUCAAGGACAAACACUUGAUUUCGUUGGUUUAUAUCUUUCGGGGCCAGUUUUUGGUCAUGGUCAAUUGUACGUAGCAUUAUCAAGGGCUAGAACAAGCAAAUCUUUAAAGGUUCUGCUUAACUCAUCAAUUGCUGAAACUUCACACAUCACAUGUACUAAAAACGUAGUGUAUAAGGAAAUUCUUUCAUUCACAAAUCAAUAAAAGAUAUCAUCGAAGCAAUGUAAGUAUCUUAUACUUUUAAUAAUACUUGUACACUUAAUUCUUAAUAUUGCUCUAAAGGUUAUAAUCAAUGUUUUUUUCUACAUUUUCUAUGAAGUUAUUACUAUUGAUGCACAAAUUCGUUGAACACAAGGACGGAGAAAGCUUCAAUAGAGUACAGGCUUUUGUAUAGUACUAUAUAUAUGUUCAAAGAAAGUGACCUUAUAAUUGUGAGCACUUCUGUUUGCGCAUCGUAAGAAAAAAAUAUGCUUUUGUUUUAUAUUUCUUAUACUUGUUUUCUAUUGUAAGACUUAAGAAUAUUAAAAAUAUCAUUGCAGGGAAUGAAUGAAUAUGACAAUGCAAAACAAAUAAAUGAUAGUUUCGAUCAAGGUAUGUGUAUAUGUUAACUACAAUAAAGUGUAUACUACUUCUGUACGGUUACACUAAAAUUAGUUAUGACAACAUACUUGAAAUCUAAUGUAUAGGUGCAGUUGUCUAACUCACUAUCCUUUGUAUUUUUAUAUUGUAGGUGAUCGAGCUAAAUAAGCGGGCCAUUCAACUAAUUGGAAAAACUGUAUGUAUAGUUCUUUCGAACGAAACUAAUGUAAAUAGUCUUGCUUGUUUCCUACUAAUUAUAUAUUCUUUAACUACUUUCUGUAAUUCUUUUUAAAUGAAUAAUUUGGCUUUAUGGGUAAAGUUUUUAUUUCAUUAAAUUGUGGUAUGCAUUAAGCUACUUACAUAUUUCACAACUUAAGCAGACAAGUAAUUAAUAAACUUUUAAUUUAUAGUUGAAUUUCCUUCUUUUUCCUUUUUAGAUUCAGAUUUUCUUUUGUAUGCUAAGUUGUAAUCUUUCAUCUGGUUUCAAUUGUAAAUAGUUCCAUCUGAGCAUUAUAUCAACAACUCCUGCCCUCUUGAAGAUGAAAAAGGUAGGUACUAAUAUAAUUAUGUAAUUUUGAAAUCUUUAAUUAUUUAAUUGUUUCCCAUUCAAUUUCGAUAUCUUAUAGCUAAAAACAUUUUUUACUUUUAUUUUUAUAAUAGCCAUUAUAGACUUGCCGCGUCGAUAUAUUAGGUAGGCAUAUAUUUAGAGAAUUUUUUAUUAGGAUAAUUAACUUAAGGUUACUGUUACGUGUUCGCACACUUGGACAACCCACAGGGCCCACAGCCAACUCAUGUCGAACCACGUGGCACUCAAUCCAAGGUGAUUUGCACAGCCGUGGCCUAUACACCGAGGCCCAUUUAUCAUUGCCCCAUUAGGAUCUUUCGAAGCCCAUAUGCCGAGGUCCUUUGAAGGUGGACGAGGCCUUGUUUGCCGAAGCUAUGUAGCCGAGGUGACAACCUACGAAGCACAAAGCAACUUCUUCCAUAAACACCUCUCCCAAGAGAUCUUCUGCACAAAGAUCUUACUUGAAUGAUUGAUAGUACGUUUGUCAUGAGUGUAAAUGUUAAGUCUUGUUACUAGUAGAGGCGGUUCUGCCAAUCAAUAAAUGUAUAACAGGCUAGGUGCGGCUGAUCAGCCUACAAUUUGACAUGUAAAUUAACCGGGUGAGGCCACGUGUACCCCGAACCGAAGGUCACGAUUUAACUUGUGACACUAUAAAUACUCUCCCAUGUACCCCAUACAAAGGUUAAUGCAAGAAUCAAUACAAGAAAUCAUAAUUUACUCAACUCUCUCUCUUUCUUAUUAUCCUACAACAUAACAAGUUCAUACAUAUUUAGAUAUACAUUUCCAAGUAUCGAUUGGUAAUUAUUGUACAAUCCGUCUACGAUCAUCUCGUCGAAUUUCGAACGUUCUCGUCCCGCGCCGUUGAGCUACUCCCAUGCCCUUGAUCUGUCCGUUUUAGACUGUCCACGUGUCUUUACGUGUAGGACUUUCGCUUACGUGUGCGCGGGUGGGUCCGGUAUCUAUUGGCAACAUUUAUUGGGGUCAACAGGUUACUAAAAUAAAUAUAUCAAACACUUAUAUAGACUACCUAGAUCAAAAGUAAGUAAAUUGUCCUCCUUCUUCCUUUUGUAAUUUUCUUUUAUACAUUUCAUUUAGUCUAAUCAUCUGUUUUAGGAACAGUACAUUUGGCGUACAACUCUCAUUAGAAGAUUUGAGUUUGCUACUGAAGCUAAAUGAUGGUCGGAUGUUCUAUAAAAAAAAUCAUGUAAGUAGCUCUUUUCUUUCUUUUUUAGCAUUUUAGAAUUUUAGAAAUUAUAGUCAUGCCAUUAGUAACUUGAUGGUUACUAAAAUGUAAAUGAACUUUUAGUUGGUGUUUUUCAGUCCUAUAUGACAUAGUAUUCAAUAUUUUUGAACACAUUUAACCAUUUAUCUACCCACAUUUAACCAUUUAACUAUUCUCUUUUUAACAAACACAUUAAAUACAUUAAGACCACGUAAUUGCAACGCAUAAAUACAAUAUAAUUUAAAUCAAUUAAAAUGAACUGUAUUAAAAUUAAAUUUACAUUUACAUUACAUUUGUCACUAACGCCUAUUUACCAACAUUUAUCUACACGUCUAUCUAUCAACAUUUAAAAAAGUAUAUCAAAAUAUGUAUCUACAUUCAAAACAUUAUAUAAAAUUUAUCUACCACAUUCAACCAAUAAUUUGUUUUUUUCAAUUAAUCACAUACAACCAUACACAUUUCAAUUACUAACAUUUACUCAUCAAUAUUUAUUCACUAAUGUCCACCUACGAACAUUAAAAACGCUAUCUACCACAUUUACUCAUUCAAUUAUUUAAUUAUUCUUUUUUUGGCAACUACCACAUACAACCACUUAAAUACUGCAACUGCCAACAUAUACUUACCAAAUAUCUAUAUACUCACACCUAUCCCUAAAGUUAAAAACAGUAUAUAAAAACUAUCUAACCACGUUCAAUCAUUUAAGUAUUCUGUUUUUCACAAGCAUUUCAUUUCUAGAUUUGUUAAGCGUCCAAAACUGAAGUUCACCACCGUAGCAGCCGCCUAAUCAACAGUUGAAAAAGUUAAUCUUUACAAAAAUGUCUAAUGAAAAUAAAUUUAGAAUUUAUUUAUCAUAUAAAAAAUAUGUACUUUAGCCAAUAUAUUACAUUGAAGAAAUUAUGCAACACGAAAAUUGAUUUUUAUAGAAUACUCCUCAAAUCCUUUUCAAUUGAAACUUCACUAACAAAAAAAUGCCUCGCAAAAGCUAUGAAACAAAUGAUAAGCCAACUUCGCAAACUUUAAAAUCAGUGAAUUAGUUUUAUACUUUUGAAUUAGUUGAUUGCUUUUGGAGUGCAAUACUGAACAAUAAAUUUCCUAACAAGAAUAUGUCAACUAAGAAUAGUUUGUUACUUUAGAAACUUAGGAAGUUUCAAUGUAUAAUCUGUCAUCUUGUGUGAACCUUCUUUAUAUUUUUGUAAAAUUAUAUUUUGCAAUUUGGACUACACAAAUACUUCUUCGCUCAAUGACAGAAUUUAUAAAACAUUAAAUAAAAAACAAAACAAAAUUUCAACCAUUAAAUACGUACUCUAUUACUUUGCUAAUGUAUAACAAUUUAUUCAAUUUUACAUAUUCUUUCUAUCUUUAUAAAUUUUAUUUACCAAUUAGUAAUUUUUUAUGCAAUGACUAAAUGUAUAUAAUCUUGAAUACAUUAAAAACACUUCGUUCCAAUGCAUAAAUACUUAAUUAAAUGAAUGAAAAUAAACUAUAUACAAAUUCAAUUUGUAUUUACACAUUCCAACUACUAAUAUUUACUCCUCCCACGUUUGAACUAGCAACAUUUACUCACCCCACGUUUCAACUACCAACAUUUACUCACCAACAUCUAUCCUUCAUCCAUUUAGAUAAACAUUCAAACUACUACUCAUGUUUAACUAUUUUCUUUUUAGCAAACAUUUUGCAAGCUUCCUAUGUGAUCGACUACAGCAAAAAGGUAACAUUCGUGUGAUAAAAAUAAAUUUAAAAUCUAUUUAUGAAUACUAUUAUGUUCUUCAAAUUUUUUGCAAUUCAAGCUUAAAUCUGUGUUGUCGAGUUCUCCUAUGAUAGUUUAAGGUAGCAUACUAAAAUCAUGUUUUACAGUACGACAUGCCCAUAUUAAUUUCUUUCUUUUUUUUUUACCUUAAGAAGACGUCGAAGUGUAUCACUCCGCGCAGCGCGGAGUGGGAAUGCCCACACUCCGCUCUGCGCGAAGUGCGAAGACUCCGCGAUAAAACUGAUCUUCGCCUUUAAAAAAUACUCUCCAACUAUAUUCUAAAUAGGAUCUCAGAUACACUGCUGAUUUGAGUAAAUGAGAUUUAAACAAAAUUUAAUAUUCCUUCUAAAAAAAUUAUUUUAAUCCCUUUUGGAUAUAAAAUUUAGGUUUUUCCAAUUUAUCACUUCAAAAAAAUAAAAAUUCAACAGAAUUAACAUGAUGUAUUUUCUGAGAUCAACUAACACACCUAAUGUGGAAAAUUUCAUUUGUCUAUUAACACUAGAAAAUCUUCUUGUUUAACAAACUAAUUUUUUACUUAACAUAAUCCUCAAUUACAUUAUACCAUUGUUUUUCUGCAUAAUUAACGCAAUUAUUAGAAAGCUUUUGACAAGCAUACAUAUCUUCAUUUUAAUUUAUUAAGAUGAUACACAUUAAUUAAUGACCAUUUUGUCUAAAAAUGAAAAUAAUGAACUCAAUCAAAGUUCUCGUUUUUCUAUAUUUUAUACAUGUUUAUGGUCGAUAACUAUCAUUACUCAUCAUUAUUGACUUAUUCCAAUUUCAUAAAUUCUUGUAUAACAUUUUCUUCAAAUAUAUUGCGUAAUUAUUAAAAUUCACAAAUUUUAUUUAUUUAAACUGUAUAUUAAUCAUAGUGCAAAUUAUAUUAUUUUCAUCUAUAUAUUGGACUAUUAAGUUUCAAAUAUGAAAAUGUGAUAAAGUUUCAUAAAAUUGUAACUAGCUAUCAUUUCUUGACAAUUCUUGACAAUUAGAAACAAUUUUUUGAACAUCAGCAAAAAGACCAACAAGACUACUUCCAGUGCAUACAAUCUAACAUACAAUCUUAUGUGGAUACCAGUUUCGGUUUAACGAAGCCUUACAUUGAUGAACAAAAUCGAAAUAUGCAAAAUCAGUUAUCUGACUGGAAAUCACACAUGGAAACAAUUGUAGCCUCUGUACAAUGAGAUGUGCCUCCUCAUAUAAGUCCAGUUGAAUUCGAAAUCCUUUCAACAUCUGAACAUACAGAAAACGUUGAAAGAUCAACGAAAGAAAAAAAUGUAAGCAGAAACAGACACAAUCUCCAUCAACAACGCCAACUAAUAUUUUAGAAAAUAUAACAUCGACAGAUACAAAAACAUUAGAGAAUGAAUAUCACAAAAUCCAUCAGAGUGAGAUAUUAAAUUUAACCUCGUUAACUUAAAUAUUAUAAUUUGUAUUUUACUUAUUUGACGAUAAUUUAAUUUUUUCUUAUACAACGCAUACUAGAAAGAUGAAAUCGACAAUUUAUACGGAAGACAGUCGCUGAUAAAUAUAAUAAGUCAAACGAAAGAUAUAAAUAUUGUGGUAAGUCAAAUUUAGUAAUCAUAAUUAAUUUUACUCCAUUAUUAAUAUAUCAAAUUUACAUUUUUUUACUAGUAUAUUGAUAUAGAAUUAAAGAUGUUGAGAAGACUUAUUCACGAUGGAUCUCUCCCGCUUUCUAAAGAAUAUGCAAUCAUGGACCUUAAAUUCGAGAAUGAAUGUGUUCAUUGGUAUACAAUUAUAAAAGGAGGAGCUGCCCAUUCUACAAGUAAUUUCAAUGAUUACAACAGUACAUGAAAGGAGAAUUAUCCGUAUUUGCUCGUCCGUGGAUAAAAUACAACUAUUUAUUGAUUCCAUCCGUAUAUCCAGGCAACAUUUGGUUUCUUUUUCUUUUCAACUUUCAAAAGUGGAAAUUUCAUGUAUAUGAUUGCAGCAACAACAUUCAUACACCGGACGCAAUUAAAUUACGUGCAGAACCAGUUUUGACUGUAGUACAAUCGUUAUUGAUAUCUAUAGACAUUUUCUUCGGCAAACCAAGUUUAAGAAAACAUAGAAAUAAACAUAUGAAAUUGGAAAUCAUACCCUAUCUACCUUGUCAAAAUAAUGGGUAAGUAUCUCAACAAUUUACUGUAAUAUUUAAUUUUCUAUUUAAUUUUAUUUUACAUUUACAACAUUGACAUAAACUAACUUCAAAUUAUUUUUUCUAUAGGCCAAAUUCUGGAGUUUUCCUUCUGAAAUACAUUGAAUGCUUCGUUUUCGGAUAUCCAUUAGAAGCAGUUUCACCAAAGAAGAUACGUUUAUACAGACGAAAGAUUGUCACAGAUAUCUGUCACAAUGAAUAUUUUUUACGUCCAUGGUUAUCCUAACCAUAACAAAUUAUGAAAAUUCAGUAAGAUUCAUUUAUCAAAAUUCAAUCUAUAAUCUUAUAUUCAUAACUUCAAAAUUACUUAAAUAUUUCUAUACAUUAGAAUAAAUGUAGGUUCUUCGGUGACAAAUAUGAGACAUUAAAUCUGUUCCAACUUCAGGUUUUACAAAAUGGGAAAUGGAAUGAGGAAAAACCCUCAAUGUUGGUUCCUUCGAACAUAGUCAAUAUCAAACUCGAAGAUUCAGCCUCACCUAACUAUUAUUCUAUUAGUUAAAUGCAUCUGGUACCAGAAGCUAAAGGGACUCAGUAAGCUGGCGAUUCACGUAUACUUUAACAGGAGUUGAUGUAUCUUCAUUUAUUAAUUUUGUACUCUAAAUGUUCAAUUUCAAUAUCUAUUAUAGUGGUUUUGAAUUUGAAGGAGUAAAUGCUUUUGUUGUUUAAGUCUGUAAAAUGGUGCUAAAGUUACUUUUAUCUUGCUGAACGAAGUUUAAUUCUUAAGACAAGGUUAGUGUUGUUUAAUUUAACAUCAACUUCGUUUUUGAAUGUCACUACCCACUUCACCACUAUUUUGUGUAUUUUUGUAAUACAGACAAGCUAAAGAUGUUGUAAAAGUUAUAAAGAAUACCUGGGAAGCAAAGAUUCAAACACACAAUUGUUUACAAUACUGGUAAGUACUUAUAGGGUAUAUAAUUUUUUUGCUUGUUUUGAUGGAUCUCUUUUAGUUGCGGUGGAUUAUAUAUGUCCCCCUGACCACUUGCUUUGAAGCAUUGAUAAGACUUAUUUUUUUAUCGGAUUCACAGCUUCUUGAGAUGUUGAUGAACAAUAUUGGAGAACAUGUUCAUCAUCGGGUUAUAGGCACAGCCACUGAUCGGUAUUCUUCAUAUAUUUGUGAUGAUAGUUAAGAAAAAGGUAGAAAUUAUUUUUCAUAUCUUAUUCUCAGUCAUUUAUUGAUUAAAUUAAUAGAAGUAAUUUUUUUAUCACUGUUCGUACAGCCUGAUAUUUGUGUAAGGGAAAGGAUAUUUCUCUUCUUAGAUGCAACUCAAACAUCUUUGGUGGAAAUUCUUCGGAGGUUUCCUCAAUAUUAUUAUGGUUAUUGUGAAUUAGUGGUAAGUAUAGAGCAAACUAUAUAUUAAUUGCAAGCUUUUAAAAAUUUAAAUCAAAGUCCAUAUUGAGCAAAUGUUGUUUGAGGCUUUGAGCCAUUCUUGUCCUACUCUCUUCUAGAUAUCACUUGUCCAUAUAAUUGAAUUCUGUCAAUCUUGCUUCUCUAGGCAGUGGUGAUUAUAUAAUUGGUUGAUCCUGGUGCUAUUUAUUACUGAAGUGAUUAGGUUUUGAAUCUUCGAAUAUGAUGAAUGUGCAAUUACAGUCUUUUCGUCAGUGUAAAAUACUUUUCCUUGGCUGAUGAAAGGGCUAUUGGCACUGAACUUAUUCUUUAUUUCUUGUUGCAUCAGCUGAUGGUUGUCUCCUUUAGUUCUGAUAUAAGUGGCAAAACAGAAUUUUAAAAUCUGCUCGCUUUCUUCCUAGAAAUGUGACCCAUCAUUCGCGGAAUAUCUUAUUAUUAAUCAAAAGGGGAAACUAGGAUUACACUACUCCAAGGGAUUCAAUUGAGUUCGCCUGUAAAUGUUAGGUCAACAUCCUUCACAUAAGUCAUCACAUUUUUUUAAUUUCAUGUUAAUUUGUUUAAAAAAUAUUUAUUUAUGUGCUCUCUUAUAUUUCCGAGUUAAUUCCAGAUUAAUCUCUCUCUCUCUUUCAGGAUAUUAAAAAAAUUAAGUUGGGCAAUCCAAAAAGUUCCGUUAUUUAAUCAAUCAAAUUGUUACGAGUUAGACGAGCUUGAUGAUUCCAGAGAUUAUAUAGAAACAAAGAAGGCAAUGGAUACCAUGAGAAUAAGUUCAGAGGAACAGGUAUAAAGGACAAUUGUUUCACACUCAAUAAGUGAUUUUUUUUUUUUGCUGACUCUAUUUCAUUUGUAGAUGACAAAAAAAAAAAAGAAAAAAAAAAAAUGAGAAAUCUAAUAUAUCACUAGACGACUAAACCAAAUUAGAGAUAGUGCAAUCUUAUCAUCAUAUAUAUUCUGCCAAAAAAUAAAUUGAGCUAUCUUUAUCAAAUUCUUUUUCUAAAUGUAUAGCAUUAAAAAAAGUAAAAUAUGUACAACAUUCUUUAAUAAACCUUUAGCUUAUUUACCCCUUCGUUCAAAUAAUUGACAUGUAAAUAUUUAACUUUCAACAUUGUACCAAUUAUUAUUUUAAAAAAAUAUUAGAUGUAGUAUAUAAGUGCUAAAUGACGCCUCUUGCUUUUUCUCAAUUUGUGCUUUAUUUCUAGAUCUCCAUUUCCAUCCAACUACAACAUACACUUUCAAAAGGACAACAGAAACAACCAAGAAGAUCCCAAUUUUUACGAAUAUAAAAACAUGUCUUUAUGCAACAGUUUCCUAAUUAAAAACUUGUUCAUUACUCCUCCCACUUUGAACAUAAUUUACUUUAUACAAUUUAUUAACAUUCAAAAAGCUAAUAUCACCCUUCAAAUAAUACAAUCCGUGCAUUGCACGGAGCCUAAACUAGUUACAAUAAAUAUCCUUAAAUUUUUUUAUUUUACAUUUAUGUUCUCAUUUUUUUUUUAAAAAAUGUUUUUAGCAUCAACUCUCUAUUAAUUUUCACAAGUUGUUUAUAAGACAAUUUUCAUCCAAAAUAUGUGUUACGAUGGCCAAAAGAUAUAUUUAUCUCUUGUAUUUUUAAAUAUUCGAAAUAAAUAACUAAUACAAAAGUUAAAAUAUAUAGCACAUUAGUAGAAUAUUUGGGUUGGGAUCAUAUUUACAAAAGAUAUAUUAAUUAAUUAAAUAAAGGUUGAAAAUGAUAAUGCAAUGAGAAAAAAUUAAGGACAUAAAAGUAAAAGUGAACAAAUAUUAAAAACUUUUAUUGUAAUUAAAAGUGUUGCAGAUAUAAAAUAUUGUUAUGGAAAUAAUUAGCCUUUGCUAAAUGAAAAAAUGAAAUUUUAUAUUUUGGAUAAUUAGCAAAAAAAUAUCCUUAUCGUUUGUACUUAUUGCUAAAAUAGCCUUUAUCAUUUUAAAUUUGGCAUUUACACCUUUAUUUCAAACAUUUCUUGCUAAAUUGGUCCUUUCCGUUAACUUCUUCCAUUAAAUAUGUGCAAUUUGGGGCAAAACAUUCCUAUUUUUUGCUUUCAUUGCGCAAAUAGUCCUUUUAUUUUAAUUUUGAUAUUUGGAUACUAAAAUUGACAUUUUUUUGCAUAACAUCUCCUUACCAUCUAUAUUCUCAAUUAUAAUAUUGUAAAAUAACUAAUUUAUCAUCAUCUUUAAUAUAUAUAUAUGGACGGUAAGAACCUUUUAAGUAAAGAAAUGUCGACAUGAGUGUCCAAAUGUCAAAAUUGAAAUGAUUGGAACUAUUGGUGCAAUUAGAGCAAACGAUAGAGACGUUUUGCGUCAAAUUACACAUAUAUUAAUGGAAGGAUUUAACGGAAUAUGACAGAAAUGACCAACUGUGCAAUAAAUGUUUGAAAUGGGGGGUGUAAAUGACAAGUUUGAAAUGAUAUGGAUCAUUUUCGUAACAAAUACAAACGACAGGGAUUUUUUUUCUUUUGUUUGCUAAUUACAAAAUAGUCUUCUUCACCUGCUCAAUUCCCACAACAUUUGCCUGUGUUACGGUUUUCUUCGCGUUCAAUUCUAAUCCCAAAUUCUUAAAAAAUUAUUUUUCACCUUUUCUAUGACUUUUUUCCAACAUUUUAACACGUUCUCUAGUUUAUUUUAAACAUUUCUUUAGUCGAACUGAAGAUGACAAAAAUGGUAUAUAAGAAAGGGGGAAAAAUCUCUUUUGCAUAUUGCAUCGAUAGAGGUUAUGGGUCUUUAUGUUCAACUUUGCCAUUGAACCUUCCUACCAAAUUUAUGAAAACACUAGUAAUGAUCAUCUUAACAUGUACAUUGAACAUAACUUGUUCUUGAUGAAAUACAUUCUAUCCCGUAAUAAAAAUAUGUUAAAAAUUUGAUAAAUUCUAUGUCAAUCAGAGACUCAAUAAAACAUCUACAUAUUAGAACAUUAGAAUCCUUCAUAGAAUAGCAUUUGAUAGUCUAGAAAACAAUUUAGAAUUCUCUGAUCGUACUCAAAGAGAUCAAGAGUUAACAGGAACCAGCCUAUAAGUUAUCUAUAUGUGUAAUUGAAACCGCUUCGCCUUUAUACGGAAGCUGAGAUUCUUUAUAAGAUAUAAUCUAUGCUCAAUCCAAUUUAUUUCUAGGACUAAUAGUUUCUCUUGAUCAUCAAUUAUUUCUCAAGAUUAUAAUUUUGUGCUUAAUUUUAUAUCUACGUUCAUGUAAAAUCUAGUACAAUUUUGGAUGCGAAUUAUGUUUGCAACCAAAAAAAUACACGAAUCUCCUCCAUCAUUCUUAGUAAUAUUUAAAAUCUCAAAACUUCAUAUUUAUCAACAUUUAUGACUUCUAAUUGUGUGGACAUGUUUUAAUAUUCAUGAGAUUGGAUAAUAUAAUGUAUAAGAUUUUCGCCUCUUGUUCUUCACUGGCACUUUUAAGUAGUACACGUCAUGUUUGCACCCCUUGCCUUUUUUCUUGUCUAUCGUCUUCCUCUCUAAAUAAGCCUGCAUUUGAACGUUUAUUGAUUAAUGAGUUUUAUCUUCCGUCAGUCAAUAACACAAAUGUUAGGUUUCCUUUAAUUUGUUCGAAUUUUUAUGUUUGGUACAAAUUAAAAUUUGAUUUUAAUACCAUAAUUUUUGAACCAAAUAUUUCAAAAACUUUUAUCAUAAUCUACUAAAAAAUUGAUAUUAACCCUCACCAAACACCGUCACAUAAGUCUCUAAAAUUAAUAUUCCAAACCAUUUGUGCUGGUUUUACAACCCUAUGCCCGUAACGAUUUUAGGUCAAACUGGUGAAAAUUGGUGUGAAUUAACAAGAGAGGACCUGCUGGACUCUCUGAAUAAAAUGAUUACAAAAUGAAAAAUCUAGUAAAUUGGAAAAAAAACGGCGACUGUAUUGUAGACCCUUCGUCGUCGAAGUGAGUGGAUCACAACUCAGAAGUGAAUUAAUUGGUGUUUUUUGACAAGAAAGAUGGAAGGAGGAGAAGGAGAGGAUCCGCAGAAGUUGAAAAAAAUAGCAGCGGUGGCGUACGACUACGAUAACGACCCACGAUGGGCGGACUACUGGUCUAACAUCCUUAUUCCACCCAAUAUGGCCUCCCGCUCCGAUGUUGUCAACCACUUCAAGCAAAAGUUCUACCAGCGAUACAUUGUACUGCUUUUAAAAUUUCUCUUUUAAUUAGUUUUUAUAGUGUGUGAUAAAUCACCCAUUUUUGUUCUCGGUAGCUAUCUUGUGUGUAGUAAUUUAUGCCUGAACUAGAGAAUCAUUGCUAAAUGAAUCUUUUAUUGGAAUUUUGUUUGUAUAUUGAAUCGAGAUGGUUUUAGGUGAAGAAAUACAAUACAUUUUCUGUUGUUUGGUUUUUGGUAUGAAAUUGUAAUUUAUUUAUAUAUUUAUUAUUAUUAUUUUUUUUUUUGCUUUUUAUUUAGGUGUAAUGACUGUGUAUUUUAUCUGGGUUUAGUUGAUUUUUACAUGGUCGUUACUGAAUCACCAUCAAGAAUAUUUAAGAAUUUGAGAAAAUUUGGCAUUGCAUGAAGGGCAUAUUGUUAAAAUGUAUUUUAGUUUUGUCUGUUCUGCUUGAGUUACUGUGAGAUACCAACAGUGGAUAGUGUCCUCGUGAAUCGUGAGAGUGAAUUUUCUUCUGCUGUUUGUAGUUCAGUGACAUAGUUGGGAUUGUAGACUAUAUGUUUCAAACGAUACAUUUUUAAUUUUAAUGCUCUCCCCAUUUGUGGUGUUUGAAGGGCUAGGAAUACAUGAAACAACACUAUACCAAAUGUUGGAGGGCAUGUGUUUAGAAAUGAGGAUGGUCGUGAUAUUGGCAUGUCUUAAGGAUAAAACUUUUGAGAGUUUCUUCGCUUUCCGUAGUACUUGAAUAGGGGGUUAGGAGUCAGCAAAAGCAUACAAGCAGCACAUUAUCCUUUUUGCUGCAACUUUAUGAGAUCAUUAUUUGUUGCUGAUUUGAUCCUUUUACUCUGCAGGAUCCUAAUUUGAUUGUCGAGCCAAUGAAUACUAACAGUACUUCUCAGCAAUCAAGGCCAUCAGUGCCACCAUCACAAUCUUCGUCAGCUUCUACACAGAAUAAUCACUCCCGCCCAAGGGAUUCUCGUAUAAAAUUUUAUAUUUCACCAUUUACUUUUACAAGAUCAGAAAAUGUUGCUUUGCAUUAUUAUUUCUUUUUCUGGUCAGAUAUGUUUUGUACUUGAACUGCUUGAAUUCAUGUUGUGGGGUCUGCAGGUAGCACAUCAGGGACAUCCGCGGCUCCACCACCAAAUUCCACGUCACUGCGUUGGGAUCGAGAAACCAUUCAAUUUUCUGUCCAUGCUUGGGUAUGCUAAAUUCUGUUCUUUUGUAUUCAUGCAGCAUGUAUUCUGGGGAAGAUAGUCGCAAGAACUUGUUAUUGUUAGGUAGUUUUUACCUCAUAACAUUACCCAUGUCAGAUAACAGUGACUUGUGCCACUACUAUCAUCUAUGUUAUCGUGGCCAUGUAUUUGAUAUUUAUUGGUGUUAAAUUUAUGUACCUGUAGUCUUCAGCUGGAGUGUCUAGUGAAUUUUUGCUUAACAUCUUAGAAUAUGCACUUAAAAUUAUAUUCUAUUUUAUUUUGAUAAUUUUUACACAUCCAGCUCGGGACGAUUCAGUAAUCCUGUAUAUAAGUUGAAUUUUAGUCGAUGUUUGUAUUUGGCUGUUCAAAAACUGUUAAGCUCGCUGAGAAUUUAUCUAAUCUUUGCUUUCUUCAAAAUGUAUCUCAUAAUUGCAUUACGGUUUCCACAUUCCUGAUUGAAUAGUAUUUGGGAGGGAUCAAGCAUCAUGGAAUCAAGGUUACUUGCAAUGUUUAUCGUUUGAAAUGCUGGGUAUGCCUGUUUGUUUGAGUUCGAAAUUAAACAUGAUAUUGUUCAUUUGUGGUUUGAGUUAAGAAACUUGUGACUGUUGCUAUUUUAUUGUUGUGAAGUUAGAAAUUAUUAUUAUUUAAUUUCUUUUCUCCUUUUGGUUGAGGAAAUGUGGGGAGAUGGUGUGAUUUUACCGCUGCUUAGUAGCUUAUUUUUAUAUUCAAAUUAUCGCAGCUUAUUAUUAUUAUUUUUUUUUUCUCUGCAGGUACUUGUUGUGGCGGUUCUUGCUAUCUUUCCUCUCGUGCCUAAGAAUCUGUCAAAUCACGCAUACCGGCUUUCCCUCAUGGGAACUGCAUGUUCUUCUCUGUAUUCUUUGUAUUCAAUAUAUGGGGUAACUCUCAUGUUUAUAGUUUUUGAUUAAAGUUGUGGUGGUGCAUGGAUUUAUUUUCUUACGGCAUCAAUAUACUAGUAAUUGAUCAUUAUUUGCAGAAACCUAGAGCAUGGAACUUGCAGGCUUUGCAAGUUUGGUUUCAGUCGGUGGUGGUUACCAAAGAUUUUAUCUACUCCAUCUACUGCCUUACAUUUGUCUCUUCACAUCUGUGCCUCAAAUGUUAGUGUCACUGCAAUUCUGCUUUAUUAGUUUCUCUACCUUAUUUUCUUAAUGUGCACUGGGCUCUUCCUAUCCAUUGCACAUAAUUUGCUGAUGUUCACUGUUAGCAGUUGCUCUAAUUCCCAUUUUGGGUAGGGCCCUUGAGCACGUUGCAAAGUUUCUGAGGCGCAACUUUAGCAGAUCUACUUUGUAUAGGUAAAGAAGUAUGAAUUUCUUACAUCUGUGGUACUUUGUUAUGUUUUGGUCAUUGAUUUCAUAGAAAGGGAUCAAGUAGAACUUAUAGAAAAAGAACUAUUUAGGUGCACUAUUUGCAUAGCUUAGUUUAUGAGAAAUAAUAAUGACAAAGGUAGUCAGCUUUGUCUGAAAUUGCGAAUUCACAAAUUAGUUCAAGUUGAACUUGUAAUUCAUGCUGUAAAUUUGCAUAUUAUGAACAUGUUGAUGUUGUCAGUAUAUUUUCAAACAGACAAUGCACCUGAAACAAUGGUGUGAAGCGGAAAAACUGAGCCUUGAGAUCUACACUAUUAAGCACAUAUACACAUGUUCAUGCAAUCGGGAAAGAGAAAAGGAGAUGGCGUAGGAGAUAAAAUUGCCAUUGAACCAGCAGGGAAUUAUUUCCGAAGAUGUAGUUUUACAUCUUCUAUUAUCUUCUUGGACAAGUAGAUUGAUGCUGUAUUGUUACUAUAUACGUGUCCCUUUGGUCACAUAUGUAACUUCUUUCUUGGAUUCCUGCAGGAAAUACUUGGAAGAGGCUUGUGUUUGGGUUGAUUCAAACGCAACCCUUGGCAUUCUAUCCUCACAAGUGGAGAUUGGAGUUGGAUUCCUUCUGAUUUUCUCUCUCUUCUCGUCAGUACCUCUACUCAGUUCCCACGUUUAUAAAUAUCUGGAUUUCAUUUUUAUUAAAUAAUUUAUCAUUGUUCAAGAAAAAGAAACGGGAAUUUGUGUAAUUGUUAAAGAUAUAUUCUUCCUUAACUUGUAUUUUAAAAAUGCAGGUGGCAGCGUAAUAUUAUACAGACAUUUAUGUACUGGCAGGUGCGUGUUGCUUCUCAGACUCUAAAAAUAUGAGAGUUUCCAUUUAACGUGACAUUAUUUACGGCCUUAUAAUAUGCAGUGCGGGUGUAAGUGAAGCUUCCCUUUGUUUUCUAGCUAGAUUAUUGAGUCAGUCUCAAUGUUAUUAUUAAUGAUCGAGUUAUAUUGCAUCUUUGGUGCGAACCUAGGAAUCCCUUAGAUAUGAUGCACAAUGGACCUUGUUCUAUCUUUGACCAGAGAUUUCUCUAUGAAUAAUAAAAAUUGCAGUUUGAAGAAGGGAAGGGAGAAGGGUUCCUCGACUCUGCAACAGAUAGAGGAGGAUUUAUUCAAUCAUGAUAGUGCAGUUUAUAUUAUAUGCUUCCUUCAAGAUAUUUGGCUCAGCUUCCCGUAUGAUUUUUCUUAUCCUUAAGAGAGUAAUUAGAACCUUUAGGUCCAGUUAGCCGUUCAAGUUUGGAAUGUAUGAAAUUUGGUUGUCGUGGUUCUGACCAUUCAUAACCUGUCGAAUAGAUUUAUGAUUUCUAUUGUUGUUGAGCCAUUUCUCGUCAUCAAUUUACGGUCUUGUCAAAAAUAUUAUUUGUUCUUUGUUUGAUGAUACUAGCGUUAACAUGGUACUUGAACUUUUUCGUGCAGCUUUUAAAGCUUAUGUAUCAUGCUCCUGCAUCUGCUGCUUACCAUCAAAGUGCAUGGUCUAGGAUUGGUCGGACUGUAGACCCAUUUAUCCAACGCUAUGCUCCAUUCUUGAACUCUCCGAUCUCGGCCGUUCAAAGAUGGUGGUUUAGGUGAGUAAAAAGUUAGAGAGAAGGGGUCGGUGACGGGGUUAACAACAACAAAUGCUGUUAUUUCCCUCCGUGCCUUUGUAACUUGAGAUUGGAAAAGAGGAUACAUGUUUCAUAACUUUAGAUGUAUGGUUAAGCAGCCACUUGACUCGGUUUUAUACUGAUUACUUCUUGCUAAUGUUAAGAGGUGACUUUAAAGCAGUGUCUUUCACUUGGUUAUGAAGUUCUGUUUUACAUUUUCUAUAGUUUAUAGAAAUCUUUAUUUGUUUAACAGUAACAUGUCUCCAUCGUUACUCUGUUAUACAAUAAUUUAAUUUCUAAGCGUCUAUGGUUAAUUUACUUGAGAUAUAUUUUCAUUUACUUAAUGAAUUUGGAUUCAGAACAUGAGUAUUUUUGAGUCUACGUAAAAUAUGUCUUACUUUUCAAAAUUGUUAUUUAUUUAUCUAUUUAUUCUGGACUUGGGUUAACAUAAUCUUCGGUACUUGAAUAACAUAUUUUGUGGGGAAUAUAACGUCUUUUGCUAAACUUGAAUAAAGACUGUUCUAGUAGAGAUCUCUAGGCAGUCGCAAUCAAUUUGUUCUAUGGCCCUGUUUGAGAGCGAUUUUGAGAAUUGAUUUUGUGACUGUUAGGAGAAAAGUGGAGACCACUCGUGAGAGAAAAAGUCAAAUUUUACGGUCGAAAUAGUGAAAUAACAAUCAAAAAAUCAAUUCUUGACGUUGAAAAAUCACUCCUAAACAAGCUCUAUAUGUGACUAUAAUAGGCCAAUAAAUAAAUAAAAUAAAAAUAAAUAAAUAAUGGCCAAUGGUUUCAUAUAAUCCAUACAGGAAGACGUGAUCGUUGAAGGAAAAAGUGGCAAAUUUGUAUACUACACCUUUCCCUAGCAGGUAGACAACUGUCAAAUGUUUGACAAUGUUCUCAAACCUUCCCCACGAGGGAUCUCAUAAGGCAGUCAAAACUUGUACUUCUUGUAGAGAUAGUGUUUAUAAACUAAAUUUUAAAAUAACUUCUUCUUCGAGAUUAACUUUUAGUAAAAGUUAUAGAAAUAUUCUGCGUGUACAAUAGGAUUUACACGUUGACGUACAUCUUUUUGGAUAAUUUUAAUCUUCAUACAAUUUAAUUAUUUUAAUAAUAUUUUACUUUUCAUUUUUCGAUAAAAUUAUUAUCAUUUUUGAAAUUUGUGUUAUUAAUUCUCAAUUAAUUAACAUUAACAUUAAUCUAUAUUCAAUGAAAUUUCACUUGAUGUAUCUUGAAUUACAUGAAUUUAGAAUUAUUAUAAAUGAAUUUAUUCAUAUUCAUAUAUCUAGAAAAUUUUAAUGAGUGUUUAAAUUUAUGUAUUAACGAUUAAUUUUUAUGUAUCAAAUGUAAUAUAAAAAGAUUGCUCGUUUAUAGUAUUUCAUCAUUACAAAAAAAUUUGAAUCAUAGAAAUUAAGUCUUUAGAGUAUAAUUUAAGUACAAUUUACUUCUAUUAAAUUUUUAUGCUAAAUUUUAUCUUUUUUAAUUCGUCCAAGACUAAUCAAAUUUUGCAACAAAUUAGUAUCAAAUAUUACUUUUACAUCAUUUAUAAAUUAUUUUAGAAUAACGUGUAAUGCAUGUUCUACUUUGACUAGUAAUGUUCAAGUAACAUUUUAUUAUUGAUGGAUGUAAAAAUUGUAUUCCAACUCGUCAAUGAUAAAAUGUCACUUGGAUGUAAAAUUUCUUUUGACUUAUGAUAUGGUCAGGUCAUUAUUUGACUAUGAUAAAUUCAAUUAAAAAUAAAAUUAUAUAAUUCAUUUAAUUGUAUAUUUUAUUUAGUAUCAUUCGUAUUUGUAUUAAACAUUAUUCUAUUAUAGUCUAUUCAUCUCGUGGUGUAUGAAUUUGUCAAACGGAGUCGAGGCUAUGACAUUUGUCUUGCAUGUAAAUUAGGCAAAACCCGCCAUUUUCACUGCACCGUUCCGUGUGAUAAGAUUCUUUCUCAAAUCCCAAUAAAAUCUACCUUUUUUCUAAAACCAGCUCCUCGAAUCUUCGGAUUUGUGAUUCUAAGUUAACCCACCGGAAAAUGGCGAUGGAAACAUCGACUUCUUUGCCGGCGACGAUGGAGUCGAGCGAGUCCUUUGAGAAUUUGAAGCAACAAAUGGAAACUGAUGGUUUGAUCAGGGUUUCGAGUUUUCCUCAGCGGAGAACUGUGAAUAAAAAAGCUCGGCCGCGUCGUCAACAGUCUUUUAGCCGUGACAUUGGUCACGCUGCAGCAGAGACCUAUUUGGUCACUGGCCUCAGCUUCAAGCUCCUUGGCUACCUGGGGUACUAUUCUUAGUGCUUUUCUCUUCCUAAUAUUCUUUUGUUUAUUGCACACUUCUAUUGCUCGCGUAAUUUGAAUAUCCUUUUGCUAUGUUAAGCACAAUUGAUUGAGGAAAUAGGGUGCGGGGAGUAGGGAUAUUUGAUUAUGAGCUACCAAUAGUUGAAUCUUUUGAUCAUCUUUGUGGUAUCCAAACAAAAAUCGCUACUCAAAAGUGCACUGGACAAACAUGAUAAUUUGGCUGAAUUUUUUUGUUUUCCAAACAAAAAGGUUAAAAUUUUAGCUGGAGUAUGUUAAUGAAGGUUAGAAUUGACAUGAAAAUACGUUAUGGCAGUGAGCACAAAGCAGACAAGCGAUUUUAUAUUUUAAAUGGAACAUAUUUGGGACGAUGUGUGAUACCAUCUUAUUAAGAAGAAUCAAUAGUACACUGACUGGGUUGUUAAAAUAGAUAUUAGAGUUCUAUUGAGAGAACAAAUAAAGAAUUUUGAGAAAACAUUGUUACUCAUUAUUGAUUGGCUUGUUCAGAUAGAUACUGGAGUGCAAAUUGAGAAAAUAUAAAUGUCUUGCAUAUAACCAAUGUUCAUUUGCUGAUUCUUUAGAUAUUGAGCACAUGAUUCACAACAAUAACAACAAGAAGCUAAGCCUUGUCAUCAAUAAAGGUUUUGAAAGGUUCAACAAAAUCAAAUCAUUUGAAAUUUCUAGAUCUACAGCACACCUAUUCAAGAUUGAUUAAUUCUAAUUUCGGAUAUCAUGAAUUUCUUUGAUCCCAAGCUCAAAAUGGUCAAAUAACAUAGAAGUUGAAACAUGCUCAUUUUAUGUUAUUGCUUUUUUGUCUCAUUGUCAACCUUUACUUUUUACAUACAAGGCUAGUUUCAUUCCUAAUCGUUUCUUUUAUUCAGGUUAGGGUACCGCUGGAUCACACGACUUCUUGCCCUUGCUCUGUAUGCAAUGUUACUUAUGCCAGGUUUCCUCCAAGGUACGUACAAGAUGCAAUUAUGCCUCUUUUGGUACAUGAAAGCUUAGGGGUUAUGCAUAUAUAACAGGUUUAAUAUUGUAUAUAUGUAUUAUGCAGUGUUUCCCAUUUCUUAUCAGGAGAAAGACACUAAGCAAAUUUUGUCCUCGUUAAUGAUUGAAAAGCUCAGGGUUAUUUUAAAAUUUUGACAUAUUUUGGUAAUUCAAUGAACGGUGACACUUGAAAAUACCCAAUCUGUUCAGUAAGCCCAAAGUGUAACCGAGAAAGGUGAAAUUAGGUUAAUUUUUCUGAAAAGAAUCCACGAACAAUCAUGUAACAAUGAGUAGAAAAACUGAACAACAAUAUUUGAAAGUAAUUGUAUCUAUUUCUUUUUUAGAUUUGUGGGUAGGGGUAGGAUAUAUCUCUAUUUUAAUGAUGCUAUUUAUAUUUUUCUGCUGCUUAUUUUAAAUUGAUAUGGUUACUCCUCUAGACAUAUUAACUAAAAUUAUUUUUAUCUGCAAUUUAGAUCUUGCAGAAUACAUAUUUUUGCAGUCAUUCUUUUUAGUAUGCGUAGCAUGAAUUCGAUGCUCUUGUCAUGGAUUCAGCUUCUUUAUCUUGAAUGAUAAGAUCUUUUUAUAUUUGUUAUUUGGUAGUUGCAUUUCAAUAUUUCUUUUCGAGCCAAGUCCGCAGAAGUAUUGUUUAUGGAGAUCAGCCAAGGAAUAGGUACAUUUUUGUGAGGUUGAAGCCUUCGUCUAAUAUUUUUUCACUUUAUUUCCAUCCAAUUUUGACUAUGAUAUAAAAGUAUUUUGCAGGUUGGAUUUAUAUUUACCAUCAAAUGAAGAUGGCCUGAAACCUGUGGUCGCAUUUGUAACUGGAGGGGCUUGGAUUAUUGGGUGAGUAAGCCAGAGGUUAUCACCUUUAACUUAUUUUCAUCCACCUGUUUUAGGUAGGUUUUGGCGGCACCAUUCUUCCAGGUUUCCCCUCCUUCCCUAACUUUGACCUCCGACACUUCCAACAGCAUACUCCACCAACAACUUCCCUUACCAUUUCCUAUUUGCUAUAAACUCAUAUCUUGUAUAUAUAUUUCUUUGAAUUUUUGUUUACAGUUAAAUCAAUCCAUGCCAUACAUGUUCUGUUGGUUGAAAAUUGUAGUACUGACUGCUGCAUGGUGAUAAAUUCUGCGGUGGUGAUGGUGUCUACUAUUGUCAAGGUCUCCUGUAGAGUGAGGGAGCCCUCAGUUGUGUGCGGGAGGAAGAAUGAAGAAGAAAAGAGGAAAGUAAAGGGAGUGAUAAUUGCAAUAGAAGGCGAUUGCAGUGUUGUUAAAGGGUGGAUGCAACGUGCAAUCCCAUACUCUUCUUGAAAAUAGGAUUAAAUCCCAAAUCUCAAUCAAAUAACACCUUUGGAAAAUUGUAACUUUGGCCGUUUUCGAAGUUAAAAUUACAGAAACCUCAAUAUCAUGGCCUCCCAAACAACAUGUUUAAUCAGGGAAUCACUGGCCCACUUUGCAUGGCAUCUUUAUCUCAAAUAUUAGAUUUCAGAUGACCGAACAAACUAGUCCUUAGGGACGAUGGGAGGGAUCGAACUCCAUCUUUUUAAGAUGAAUCUAUCAAUUUUAAAUAGAUGUGACUUAAUUUACACGGCACAUGUAGAAUGUCUUGACCUAUGUGCUUUUUCUUAACUAGCAUUGUUUCCUCAGUCCACAAUGUAUUCAUUAUGUUAUGUUACUCAAGAAGUGACUUCACCAAAUAGAGUUGGAUAGUUCAUUGUUGAAAGUCGAAAUUCAAUUCGGAUACUAUAUUUUCCUUCUUAUGUUGAAUGACAGUGUCAUGUCAGUUUACUUGUUCAAAAUAUUUAUUACGUAAAUUCUAUGUAACAUGCUAUCCAAAGCAAUCAGUAGAUUUUUUAAGCUAGUUAUUCCAAUGCAUAAUUCGUAUUCUCUAUAGACAAUGCUACUUGUGUCCUAUUGUAGUCAUAGUAUAAUCGUGUUUGCAGCUACAAGGCAUGGGGUUCUUUGCUAGGACUACAAUUAGCAGAAAGAGAUAUCAUAGUGGCAUGUAUUGAUUACAGGUAACUGACUCAAUCUUAAUUCUAUCGUGUUUAUUCUGAUAUUCAUGAAUUGAACAUACUUGCAAUUGUAUUUUUAUAAGCAUAAGAGCCUAUAUGAAUUGGCCAUGGUUGCCUAAUUCCAGAAAAAAAUUGUAGGUUUUUACUCCCCACUCACCCUGGAAAGAACACUGCUAUUUAUUAGAAAGGUUUUGUCAAAUAAUGUUGUGUUCCCCCUCCAGAAAUGGACUGGCAUGAUGUAUUUCAAUAGAUUUAUGUGCCUUUCUUCUGAAGAAUAACACGCACAAGACAACCAUUAUAACAUGUCAAAAUAAUUUUUUUCAUUGUUCCUUUAUCAAUGUAAUGUUCAGCAACCUGGCGUUUGCAAAUUAUCACCUUCAACUUGAAUUAGUUAUCAUUAUCAUUUGGUUGAAUGAAUUCAACACAAAAAGUUUAAGUACACCUGUUGGCCUUCCAAAUGACCACAGGUAUUUGCCUGAGUUGCGAAAUCCUUCAUAUACAAUGAUGAAUAAAUUCUUUCUUUAUCUCCUAUGUGAGUGUAAAUGUAAUUUUGAUCGAUAAUAUUGUCACUUCGUCACAGUUUCCCAUAUCUGUAUCCAUCUGGUUGCAGAAAUUUUCCACAGGGAACAAUCAGCGAUAUGGUUAAUGAUGUUUCUCAAGGGAUUGCUUAUAUUUGCAACAAUAUUAUUGGAUAUGGGGGUGAUCCAAACAAGUAAGUCAAUUUUAUUUUUUUAAUUGAGAUCACUUACUUCAAAACUGGAGAAAUAAUAUCAGGAAUUUCAUGAAAGAAACAAACGGAGGGAAAAUUGAUAGAGAAGGUCUGUACGACUUGAGUAACCAAGGGUUUGCCAAUAAUGGUGGUGGAUAAAGGAUACAGUCAGGAACAAAGUAGAUUUGUUGUUAAAAUAGAGAAUCUUACCCUAGAUAAUAGAACAGAAUGGGAAAAAGGAAGGGAUUUAUUUGUUGAGCCGAAACAUCAAGUCUUGUUGAGAUGUCUACGCUCUGGCACUAAGGGUUAGGACCUGCUGAGUGCUGGUGAAUAAUGAAUGAUCCUUCUUGCAAAAACACUUCUUUUGGAAACAUUCCUGCAGGAUUUAUCUUAUGGGUCAGUCAGCUGGUGCACAUAUUUCUUCCUGUGCUCUUUUGCAGCAGGCAAUCAAAGAAUCCAGAGGCAAUAGCAUUUCUUGGAGUGUCUCCCAGAUAAAAGCUUAUUUUGGUUUAUCAGGGGGGUAAGUGUAGUAUUUACCAGGAUUUAAAUUUUGUUUUCAUAUUGUUGAGGGGCCAAUCUCUUGUUCUACCAUGAAUUGGAUCUAAACUGUUUGAUGGACUACAAUAACUUCCUAAUCCAUGUAUACUGACAGGUACAAUUUACUCAAUCUGGUCGAUCAUUUCCAUAAUCGAGGCUUGUAUCGCUCCAUCUUCUUGAGGUAUAAAAGUUCUUUUCAAUGCUAAAUCAUUUAAUAAUAGCCCAUGGGUAAAGUUUGACCGACCGUGUUCUUUUGUUCUAUAUGAUUGAUGUCUUGAUUUGUUAUUUACAGUAUAAUGGAAGGAAAAAAAUCACUGGAACAAUUUUCUCCUGAAGUUAUGGUACAGGAUCCAAGCUCUGACAAGGCAGUUUCUAUGCUUCCCCAUAUUGUCCUUUUCCAUGGUACUACAGAUAGUUCCAUACCAUCAGACGCAAGGUUUGCAUUCCUUCUCAAGAAUGAUGUUAAUAAGCUGCCCUUGACUUCAUACAAGAUACCGUGUCUUCUUGCAGUAAAUGAAUCUGUUGUUAUCUAAUCCCAUGCUUUAUGAACUGUGUGUGAAUUUUUAUAUUGCAAUUUUGAAAUGUUUGUGUGCUGUUUUAAUAAAAUGGCAUCAUCUUUCAAGUUGAGAGGAGCUACUUAUAUUAUAAGAUGCUAACAGCUAGGUACUGACCCAAUAUUAAUCUAUCAUUCUAACAUAACUGUAAAGGCUCUUUUGUCAAUUUCAUUUUCUAGCAAUGACAUGUGAAUUUAUUAUGCUAGAAUACCCUUUCUGCAAUUCUAAUCUCGUCAGUUACCACUUGUAUGUUGUUGUGAAAUUGUACAAAAUGUUUUUAAAUCUGAAAUUUUUCUUGAGCAUGUAUGUGUUCAGUAUCAUGACUUAAAUGGUUACUAAUACUGUUCUGAAAAUGAUUAUUGUUGAUCCAAAAUCCGCUCUAGGAAUUGGAGGCAUGACAUGCUGAAGUAGUGAAAAGUUCAUAUAUUCAGUCUUUCGCUUAUUUUUGAUCUAGGUGUUUUUUUUUUUUUUUUUUUUUUUUGUCGUGUUUUCUUUUUCCCCUUUUCAUGGGCUGGUGGAGUAAACAACUAGUCCUAGAAACUGAAGUACUGGAAAAAGGGAACUACAUGGUGUGACCAUUUAGUGUAGUAAUUUAUUAUUUAUAUAGGUACAGUUGAACCUCUUUCGAUUUAUUGUCCUAAUUGCCUAAGAUUUGAAUCAUGCUUCACUUUAGCUUAGUGUGAUUGCCCUGGUGCUGGUUUGGAACUGAUCCAAGUACGCCUGACCUUCAUGGAGUUCCAGGAAAGAUGUUUCAACCCAAACUCUAGUUUUUCCUAACUCAAGGUUUUAGGCGGGCACUGUGUGGAAGGCUAUACCUCUAUGCAUGGAAAGUGUUAUAAAUCCUUCUGUUGAAGAUUAAUAAUGUCAUGAAUUUGGACAAUGCACAACUCAAAAUAAAAGAAAAGCAUUCUUUAAAGUAUAUAAUUCUUUUUUAGAAUGCUAUAUCCUGUAAUAUAUUAAUUCUUGUAUCUGGCCAAAGAAAAUGCACACUAUCUUGUUUAAGCAAGAGUUACUUAAUUGUGGCACAGUGUUAACCUUUGUUUUAACUUGUUUACUAUUUUCAGUAAAGCAUUUGUGAAUACACUCCACAGAAGGGGAGCUCGAGCAGAACUUAUUUUAUAUGAUGGAAAAACCCAUACAGAUCUAUUCCUCCAAGUAAGCACGACUUAUGUUCCAUUUUUUCCCCCGGGCAUUGCCUGAGUUGCAAUAGAUUUUACAAUCAGUACUGCAGAUUCUAAUUAUCAGUAUAGAACUAUUCAUGUCCCAUCCUUUCUAGAGCUGGCAUCAGAUUGAUAGAUGACUCGAUUGAUAUGCUAGAGAAGUAGAAAUAUAACUACUUGUAACGAGGUGUAACUCAUUCUGACUCAAGAUUGACGUCGGACAGGCGAUGGUUGAGUUUUAAGUGAAUGUAGAUCAGCCUGGUCAAUUAACUUUUUAAGCUUGAAAUUUAAUCUCUCGAACUGCAGGAUCCUCUUCGUGGUGGUAAAGACGAGCUUUUUGAUUACUUGGUAGCCUUCAUACAUGCUGAUGACAAAGAAGCCCUUGCUAGAGAUGCAAUGGCUCCUCCUAGAAGACGAUAUGUCCCAGAGAUAUUGUUGAGAUUGGCUCGUCGGGUCAGCCCCUUCUAGGUCAGACAUUUCCUAGUGCAGAUGUUUUCUUUGUAAUUGAUGUCAUAUAAUUCUCAAUGGAAAGGGAGGUGUGUACUGUUUUAAUACAUGGACAGAAUGUAGUGCUUUUGAGUCAUACCUUGAACUUUCCUUUGGUUCUUUAUAUUAUUUCAUUUACUGGUGGAUUGAUUCCUAGUAACUCGAUUUUAUUUUAUUUUUGGGAGGAUGGGAAGGGAGGUAAAAAUUCUCGAAACUUGACCUCAGCUCUGGAAACAAUAUUUCCUAACCAAUCGAGAUACGAAGAUUUGGUCUAUUAAUUUGGUUUGAGAAUGAGAGUAUUUGUGAAAUAUUUAAGAAUGAGGUUUUUUUAAUGACUGUAAGAUUAAAAAAAAAAAAAAAAAAAAAGUCUACCUAUUUUUCCUUUAGCCAAAGCAUAAGAGCAUCUUCAAAGAUUCUUUAAAUAUAAAGUACUCUCUAUUGUAGAGAGUCGGCGCUUAAAUGAGCUCCAAGAGACUUUUUAUUUAAACUUUUUAAAGUAGAAAGUGUGUCUGACUCUCCACACUUAGAGAGUCAAACACACUCUCUAUUCUUAAUGUACAAUGAUUGUAUUUAAUACAUUAAAAAUUUCAAUAUUCUACAAUUUAAAUUUUUCAAAUUACAUUUGAAUUGAUUGGUUAUUAAUAUAUAAAAAAAUUAUAUUUAAAUAAAAUAUGUUGAGAAAUUAUUAAAUAUUUAUUAAAAAACAAAAUAAAGAAUCAAAAUAGAGAGCUUGUUGAAAUGUGUAAAAAAAUUAUUCUCUAAGUUUAAAAAUGCUCUUUAUUAUGCAUAAGAUGCUCUUUAUAAAUAGAGUGUUUUUAGAGACUCUAAGAAAGUAAAAAACACGUAGUUCAAGUAACAUACUAUCCAAAUAGAAAUAAGGUUAUUAAUGAGCGCAACUUUAUGAAAGUUCUAGCGAGGUUUAUGAUAAUUUAAUGCAGCUGUCAAUAUUUUAAAGAGUAAUUUUAUUUAACAUUAUUGGUGUUAAAAUACUCGUCUAUAGAUAUUAACGUGACAUUAAAUGAAAUUUAUAAUUAAACUAGUCAUUGAGUUUAUUAUUUAACACCACUUAAACUAGUAGUUGUACUAAAUAUCAUUAUUCAUAUUUAAAGGAGCUCAACAGAUUAUGUACUAUCAAUUAUACAUCCAUGUUAGUAAUUCGAUCUGUCAUGUCAACUUGUUCGAUAAGUUGAUCGAACUAAAUUUGUUGAUGAAAGCUACAUUAGAACAUCUCCAAUCCUUUCAUGGAUUGCUAAAUAAUUUACACUACAAGUAUCCAAUGUUUAAAAAUUUUAUUUUCAAUUUAGUUGAGAUUCUUCAUUCUUUCGAUCUGACACGUCAAAUGAGAUAGCAUGCAUUGCGUGAGCCUUGUUAGAAUUUCAAAAUUCAUGUGUGUGUGUGUGAAUUUUUCUAUUUUCCACAUGUAGCAUGAUGUAUUGAUAGCAUAUACAAAGAGACACAAAAGUGCAAAAUUAGAAUAUGAAGAUCCCUCUCUCCACGGACAUGAGCACAUGACAUCAUAAUUAAGAUUACCAGGAAGAAAGCCGAGCCAUUACUUUCAUUAGGCUUGAUCUCUUAUCCACAAUGGGACAUAAUAAAAACUUUCUACUGUUGACGUGGUAAGAGAACCAUAAUUAUGGUUCUCAACGAUGAAAAUUUUUUAUCUUGUCCACUGGAAAUGAAAGAUCAAAUAUAUUACUUUCAUACCUCUUGCUAAGUCGAUCAUAUACCGACAUAAAUUUCAUUCAGCUUAUAAUAUCAUCCGAUUUUCUGAACUCUCUUUGCAUCUAUUUCAAAGAAGAUUCCAUGCGAUGAGUCAUUGGACAACAUUUUUCUAAUCAAAGUCGGUCUCAUCUCCUCGCCCAAAUUUAUCGGCAUCACACUUUUCUAGAGAGAAGUAUUAAGAACUAAUUCAUAAAAACAAAAAAUGAUCUAACAAACACGACGACAUGACACAGCAAUCCAUCUGUGAAUAACAUUUUUAAUUUAAAUACUAAAGCUGUCCUUAAAAUUAUGCACUAAUAAAUUGAUCUGUACUUAGCAUAAGCUAUGGCAGUUAGGACGCUUGUAGAUAUGUUCAAUUCCCAAUUUGAGGAAAACAAGAUAUUAAAUUCGCAUAUAAUAGAUAAAGGGGCACACACAAACCCACACAGAGAGAUCAGUUGUAUAUCUCAGGAUCUCUGCAAUAGACAGCUAAAUCUUGUUAAAGAUAGAAUGGCUUGAGUUUGCCUCCAGAAAUUUUUAAGUUUACAAUCAUUGAAUACGUAUCUGUAAAAGUCCAUUACACGUCUAAUUUUGUACACUAUAACUCCCUUCAAUUCAAAAGAAUACUUAUCCUGCAUUUCCCUCUUUCCUAGUUAGCUAAAACUUUGCAUCGGCCAUCACACAAUAGUCCACAUAGACACUAAAUAAUCCCUAAAGCAGCCUAUCUGGGGGAUGAUGAAUGUGCAGUACUAUACCGACCACAGUUUGCGGAACCAUCUUGCACUAGAUGGCUUCGUCUACCUCUGUCCGACAAGGAUCGGCCGUAACUCGGGCUUCUAGGAAUGGAUGUACUAGAUCUCGCACUAGGGGAAGAGUAACUGGAGUCAUAACCGCCAUAUUUAUGAGAAUAAUUUGAGGGUCGAGAUCCAGGAUCAACUCCAGGAGGCCCAUCAUCUUCGAAAUCACUGGACCACCUUUGUUGAUGAUAAUGCCGUCUGCUGAGAGUCUCAGACGAGUGGUUAUAUUCACGGUACGAACCAUGUCUCGAUACAUUGUAACUUGACGACCCAGCUACCCAAGGUCUUUCGUCUGCAUUUUCUGGGAUUGGAGCAUUUAUUCCAGGAAAUUUAACACUCAUUUUCCUGGAUGGCUCAGCAACAGUUGGAUCAAGAAUUUCCCCUUCUUCAGUUUCUUCCUUCGUUGCCUCAUCAGCAAAAAUUGUAAUCCCUGAUGGCUGGUCCUCAUCAUCUGGAUCUGAAAAUUUAGAAAACAAGAUGAAACAAAUUUUGAAGAUGUGCACUUCACGCAUAGAAAACAAAACAUAAAGACAUUAAAGAAGGAAAUUUAAACCCUGCCGCCCAGUGCAUAGAGAACUAUUUCAACAAAUCAUCAAGAUGAAAACUGUUUAAUUAUUCUCUACCUAAGUAACCUGGUGGAUAUCCUAUUUCCCGCAUUCUGUUAAACCAAGGAGGUGGAUCAAACUCCUAUACAAUAAAAAAGAAUGAUGAGUAGAGAUGUUAAUUAUGACAGUUCUAAUAAUAUAUUAAAGAAUAACUAAAAUUAUUCUAGACUUGCAGCCUACUCAACAAAUAUUCAGACUCACAUAAAACCAUCCACGAAAGAAAAAGAACCUCACUCAUCUCAAAGCAAGAUUAUCUCACCCUGAGUCCUAAAAGUUUCCGCGUCUCAGAAUCAAGUACACCUGGCCUUAAACCAUCAUAUUUCCCCCCAGGAGAGCUGUGAAAAUAUCGAGUGGCGUUACGAGAACUGGAAUGUUGAUUACGCCUAGUCUUGUGCUGUUUUCGGGCAUUAUUGAUGGUAACACUGUCACGGGGCUUAGGACAUUCUUUAAGUGCAUGGCUGUACGAACCACAGUUGAAGCAACGGGAAUUAUCUAACAUAUCCAAGCCUCUGCACAAAAUAAACACGGGUAUGCAGUUCAGCCAGAAGAUCGACACACAAGUCAAUAGAAGAAAGUAGAGCUUUAAGUUGAACAAUUUACUUUUGAGACAACUCGAAAAGUUUCAAAAGGUGCUAUAUAUACCAAGAUUUUACCUAAUUGAUGUGUUGGCUUAAAAUUGCCAUGUUUUUUUCGAGAAUACCAACAAAUCAACAAUAAAAUAAAACAAAUAAAUGACAAUAAUCAAAAUAAACAAGAACCAACACAUAAAUAACAAAAGAAAAACAUACCCAUCCAAAUCAAGGUAACCAAUUAUGGAGUGACCACUCAUGUAAUGUUAUUUAAAUUUAGUGACUAAUUGGGAAUAAAUAUACUUUAAGAAUCAAUUCGAAUUUCACUUGGAACUUCAAUGACCAUUUUUGAGAUUUUAACUCUUAACAGCAACAUUGUUAUAAUCCUCUUUACUUUCCUUAGCUUUUAAAAAUAUUCAUUUACUAUUAAACUACAGAUAAUAUAUAAAGAUUGUGAAAUAAGCACAGUAAUGGUAAUAUUUCUAUAUUUGCCUGCUUACCUUGCAGUAAUGGUUAAAAUGUUAAUUUCCUUUUAUUUCUUCAUUUACCACUUCAGUGUUACUUUUGAAAAAGAAAAAAAGAAAAAAAUAAAUAAAAAUAAAUAAAUACAUGGUACUUCUACUUUGAUAGAAGACAAAUGGUCAUAAAUUACCCAGAAUAUAUUUUCUUCCAUGUUUUUGUAUACAUUAGUAAAAUACACAUAUGACUUGAAUGGAUAAUACAUUUUCUUCAAUGUUUUGAAAUGGCAUAAUAUAUUAGUUAAAUACAUAAAUAGACACAAACUGCGUAUCGGCUUAUGAUUUGUGGAUUCUAUUUCGUACUAUCAAGUUUCUCCCCAGUAAUAGUAAAGGAACUUGCAAAUUUAAUUAAAAAGAAAUAAACGAGGCCUCUCUCCACUAAUCUUAAGAUCCUUCUCUCAACCCACACACGCACGAACCAACACAUAAAUAACAAAGAAAAACAUACCCAUCCAAAUUAAUGGAACCAUCAGUUGAAGUCAGAGCCAAAGAAUAUCCACGGUCAUAAAGAGGGACAGAAUUGCCAUCCAAUGGUAUAAACACCUCACUCGGUUGAUUGCUUAUUUGGUUGUCCACCCAAAAGGUCUUCAUGGAGUAGAGUACAUGAGAAUAAACCACAAAUUCACUGACUAUCGAGGUAAAAAGAUAAAUCAUUCAUUGCAAACCAUUCUAUUAACAGAAAAGUAAAAUGAUGUGAGCAUUUGAGUCAUUUUAUUUGGAAGUAAAUAUUUCACUGGAAGGGUGCUCAAGGGAAUACAAGUCAAUGCAGAGGCAUAUCAAAAAUCAUGAAUGCAUUCUUAAAUUGGAAUUCUACAUUUAUAUCUUGUUAAAAGGUUCAUUUCAAAGCAUCUGAAGCCAUCAAAGGAGCAGUUUUUUACAGGUUGUACCCAUGCAUAGUUGAAUACUGAUAAUUAUAGCUCCAGCAGAAAUGAUGGCAUGCCAAUGAUGAUGUUGUGCAAGUCAAUUUUACAUUACCAAUAAUUCUUCUCGUCCUUAAAACAGUCAGACACGAGUGCAAGCCAAUAUCGCUAUCUUCCAGAGAAAUAUUUUAUUUUACUCCAACGCUAAUAAACUAUUGAAUUAGUAAUUCUAUAGCCAUAAAAAAUUAAACUUCUAAUCGCAUAAAUUUGUUCAGAUAUUAACAAAAAUAGGCCAAAUUGCUCAUGAACCCAAAUGUUGAGAAGAAAACGAACAGAAGUCAUUGUAAUUUUUUCCAAGUCAGAUAACUGUAGUUGUUAAAUUUUAAAGUCAUUUCAUGAAAUACAUGUCAAGUUAAUGCUUUAAGAUCCACCACAGGACACGAGGACAACAGGGAGAAAAAAUCAUACCACCGCAGAAGGCUUAUCCACACCAACACAGAGAGCUGGAAAGUAAGUCUCUUCACCAGAUACGAAAACUUCUUGUGAAUCCUAAAUUUAAUAAACAUACAGGUCAGCACGUGAAGAUUGUGUAAAUGAAAAUAAAGCAAACAACUGCAUAAAAGGUAAACUAUAUUAAAUGUGUUACAUAACAGGAUAACAGUGUACAAAGUUACAAUCAUUUCUUCCACGACAAGGCGGGGGUAUCUCGACAAUAAAUGAAGGCAAGAAAUGAGAGACUAAACUGUAAGAAUUUAAUCAAACAACAUUUCUCAUAGAAAUUAAUCAGGCUUACAUUUGUACAGAGGUAAACUAUAUUAAGUGUGUUACAUAACAGCGAUUGUGUCCACAACAAGGAUGGAGGUUUCUUGUCAAUAAAAUAAGGCAAGAAAUGAGAGACUAAACUGUAAGAAGUCAAGUAAUCCACAUUUCUCAUAGAAAUUCAUCAGGCUUACAUUUGAUGACGAACAGAUUUGUCCAUGCCAACGUGACCACUGCUGUAAUAGCUCCUCCAGCUUUCUUUUACUAUCUCUGAGAAAGACAACAAGCUUGUCAGUUGUCAGAUAUAUAUAUACAUGUGUAUAUAUAUACAUGUAUAUAUAUAUGUAUGUAUGUAUAUGUAUAUUACAAUUUCGUAGUUUAUACCUGGUCAGAUAAUUAUAAUUAACGCGCACGGAAGGUUGUUUUUCAUCAUCACUUAAUCUGGGUCUCUUAACCCCAGAUAUUUCUAGGAGUUCAAGUUAUGGAAAAUACCAAAAACUGGGAUACUGGGAAUUAUGUAGCGAAUGAAUAUGAAAAUUAAAAAAUAUAUAUUAGAGCAGGAUACGACUAGCAUCUAUUCCUCGACCACUGACAAGGGUUUCAUCUCUUUUACAAUUAUUAGGACUAAUUUUCUCUUCAACAGCUAGAAACCCAUUCUCAGCAUGUGCCACAGAGCUGAGACAAGCAAUCUUGUCUGAUACUGCAACGGCUUCAGUGAGUUCAAAACUCACAGGCAGAGUAGACAUGCUAGCAAACCCAUCUUUUUCACCAUCAGUUUCCAUCAAAGCUCCCUUCUUUUCAUGUACAACAUCAGAGAUAACUUCAUUGAUCCCAUCUCUGAACUUGGAGUUUACAGGUAAAGAAUCAACUUCACUAGGCUCACAACCAGAUUCAUGUAAUUCAUUAUUCUCACUUCCACUUCGAGAAAUACUAGAAGCAGGAAGGUUGAUGAAAUCCUCAGUUUCCAUAGAUUCGAGCAUAUGCCCCCAGGUAUGAAAGUGCACUGGUUGCAUGUAAUAAAUCAGUAUAGAUAUCAAGAAUCCACUCAAUAGGUACCAGAAUGAAGUUAAUAGUUAAUGCUCAACAAUCAAUAGGCAUCUGAAUGAAGUGAAUAGUUAAUACUCAACAAGUAUCUGAAAGUACUGGAGGUAACGUUCAUAAAUUCAGAAUCGGCUCUUUAUUCAUCUAUCCAAGUCUAAGACCAUCUCCAAACCAUUUCAACAAAACGGUGCAACUUUCACAUCAUCCUAUUUAGUCAUCUCUAACUCAUUACACCAAACGUUACAUAAAAAAAAAAAUAAUAAUAAUAAAAUCAUUUUCUUUCCCUAAUUUUAAAUUCUAAACAACUACUUCAUUUCAAAAAUUAUUUAAUUACAUAUUCAAUUACUACUAAAAUUUUAUUUAAUAACAAAAAUAUUGCUUUUAUAAUAAUUUUAAAAAAAAGAAAAAGAAAAAGCAUUACACUGUGUAUCACAAUUAAGAUAAUGAUAUGUUUAAAACAAAUCAUUAAUUAAUAAAAAGAUAUAAAAAAGAAUAUAGUAGGCGUUAAAAUUUGUUGAAGUAUAAAAUGAAGCAUAUAAUGAGAAAUAAUUAAAACUGUAUACUACACCAAAUGAACAAUAUUACACAAAUUCGAUGCAAUGCUGUUCAUUACUGUAAUUUAGUGUGAAAUUUCGACGUCCGGUUGGAGCAUCAUUUUUAAGUCAUUUUGAAUGUUGGGCUGGAAAUGCCCCAAGAAAUAACUUCCAUCAAUUUUAUGUCUCCUGAGCUGAUUCAAUAAAUCUGCAAUCCGGUUCUUCUUCAAGAUGUACACUGACAGAAGCCCUCAAAGAGAAAUUUCUUCUGUUUUCUAAUAUCAUAUAGUGAUGCAUACAACUGAAUGCACUUUAUCAAAAUAGAAACAAGCAAUAACCGGGAAAUCAAAAAUGUUUUAGUAACAAACAGGUUUGAAUAUGAAAUACAAAAAAAUAUGUUGGCACCUCUUUUGCAUUAAAAUCAAAAGUCCAAAUCAAAAUUUAGGACAGAUUGAUUUAAAUUUAUAUCUUAAACAUUUCCCAGUGCCAAGUCACGUGAACAAAACUCGAUUUUAGCUCCAACGAGACAAACUUUGACCACGAAAGUUUUAGAAUUCAAUUAGCCUAUAACAGCAUAACCCUAUGAACUCGGUAAGCUAUAUCAACAGAAACAAAUCUAAACAAUCAAUUAAAAUACCAGAACCAGAAAACUGAAGUCGCAACUUUCGGAUUCAGGCAUCAUAUUUUGGCCAAAAGUUCAAUUACCGACCAAAAAAACAUUUUCUGCCAAAUUAACAUUCGGGUAUUACUUAAUUGCUAUCAGUAAGGAAAAUAUGAUUCAACCUUCCGAUUCAUAUAAGAGCGAGCUUACAAAAAGAAAAGAGAAAAGCCAGAAAAGCGAUAUGAGGGUUUGUGAUUCACCUUGAAGUUGGGGAUACUCGACUGCGCCGACAAUUGUGAAACGGGAGAACUGACCAAGCCAAUAAGGUCCGAUGAGGAUCCAAGAUUUGAUUCAACAAAUCGCUGAGUGCACGAUGCUCGUGCGCGAUGCGCGCGUGUUGAGAGAGAGGAUUUCUUUAAUUAAGAAAAAAAUGACCACAUAAGUCGUGUUAUAAUAAUAUAUAUUAAGGGGGUGUUUGAUUACCAUUUGUACGUAAAAAUGCAUUUUAGAAUAGUAAUUUGAUGGAAAGUUUGUGGUUGAAAAAUAAGGAAUUUUUUUUAUUUACGUGUAAUAUUAUUUCAAUAAAUAAUGUAUGGUUGAAAAGAAGAGAGAGAAAUGUAUUUUAAAAAAUGGGAACCAAUCAGGGGCUCACAGGUAUCUGUAAUUGCAAUAUUUGGCUUACGUUUGUUUAAAAAUUUAUUUUUAACCACACAUUCUUUCAUAAAAUAAUAUUACACAUAAAUCGUAAAAACUUCCUAAUUUUUUUUAUCAUACAUUAUUCAAAAACCCACUAUUUCAAAUUUUCCUUUUUUUCCUCCUUUUUUUUUUUCAAAAUUUCCAAUGUAAUGGAGCCCAUACGAGAGCUUAGACAUAGGUAAAGAAAGGAAAUAAAAACACGAACAAGGCCAAAAAUGGCUCACAGUACUAAAUAAUAAAGUGCUCGAAAGUGACCAACACAAAAUGCAAUAACAAGCCUGCAAGGAGAUCUUCUUUAGCCCUUGUUUGACAAUCAUUAUUUUCAAAAAUUUUUUUUUAUAUAUAUUCACUUUAUACGCAUUCAUAGAAUAAAAUAUUCUAUUCGUAAAUUCAAAACUUUUGUUACUUUUUAACCAUACAUUCUCCUAAAAAAUUAUUAUUCAAAAUAUUAUUUUUUUCAAAAAAUUGCCAUCAAACAGGACUUAAUAAAAAUAUUAAAAAAGAAAAAAAAUCAUAAUUACCACACUUUAAAAAAUGUAAUUUUAAAAUAUUAAAUUUGUAAAAUUCUUCCAUAAACCAAUAUUAUCUUUCCUAAAAGAAUAACGUGACUUGAAUUGAUUAUUAAUAAAUAAAAAACACACACACACACAUUUCAUGAUUAUUCUCUCUCAUAUUUUCACCUCCUAAAAAGUAAAAAAGAAAUUAGUUAUUUUCUUCAUCAACGUUCUCACAAAUUAUAAAAUAAAAAAUAAAAUCAUGGACCUCCAAGGCACGACCAUCCAGAAUAUGUGAAGAAAUUGACCACAGAUUCCCAACAUGAUUUCGCUAAAAUAAUUAUAUCUUUUUUGUCCAUAGUUUCCCUACUAUUUUGUGACUCUAUUUUGUGGUUUCAUAGCUAUUUGAAUGUGAACUAAAACAUAUUUCUUCGGAAAUUGUGAUUUCUGCAAGAAUUAUAAUAUAAUUUCAAGACCGAUGACUUCAUUUAGAACAGGAGAAUAAAAAAAAUAUAAACACGUUGUUAAUAAAAUGAUUUUAUCUAUCGAUUUUGUGAUUCUGAAAAUGUUGAAGAUGAUAAUUAAUCUUCAAAUCUUAAAACCAUGGUUUUGCUUAAUUUUCUACUGAAAAUUAGACAAAACAACGGGUGUUACACUGUUCCACAUCAGUCACAUCUACAUGACAAAUAAAUGUUCAUCACAUUCCAAAUAUCAUAUUUCAAGAUUUCAAGGAUGAGAUAUACGAGGAAACAUAGAUCACAUUUUACACAAUUAAAAUGGGAAGACAUAGUCGUCACAAGUUUCGAGAGAAAAAAUGAAUUCAAGAAGACAAAACAUCAUAUUGCAUUGUGUUACUAUUAUAUAUAACUAAAGUUCACAAAUAUAACCUUGAUCCAAUGCAUUCGAGGUCACAAUUUUUUACACAAGCAUUUAAAUAGAGCUAUUGAAUAAUGCUACUUGUAAACCGUGCUGACCCAUCAAAACUUCAUGUGACAGUGUGUUACUAACAUAUUCUCUAGUAAAUUAAAAUAUAUUUCAAAUUUAUAGAAGAAUUCUACAUUACUGCCACAUAUCGAUAUCGUCGAUGGAUAAGCACCCUUUACAAAUAGCAUAAUUCUAUAAAUUCAAUAUCUAAUUCCUUUUUAAUUUUUUUUUUCUGGUACUAUGGUCAAAGCUUACAAUUAAUUAGACGAAAUCUACAACGAAGUGCAAUACUUAAUCAAAGGUUUCGAAUAUUUUGAUCCACAGUUUAUAAAAUGUUUCCUGAAUUAAAGUUUCCAGAUUUUAUUUAAAAAAUAAAAGUAAAAAAGUUAUGAGGUAUGAAAGGUUCUUGAAUUAAAGUUCCCAGAUUUUACUCUGAAAAAUAAUAGUAAAAAUGUUAAGAAACCUUUUGAAAAAUCAAAAGCCAAUGAAAUUGAGAAUUUUAAAUUGGUUUCACUCUGCAAUUAUUUUUGGAUAAUUUCAAAAAUAUUUGAAAUUAAAAAGAUUAAGUUUAUCUGUGUAAACUUAGUUAACAUUAUAUGGGAUCAUAUGAAUUCUGGAAAGUAAAUAUUCUUAACAUUUGGAAUUAGUAACAAAAAACACACAGAUUUCAAAACAUUGUGAAAAUCUCUAUAAACGUUUUUCCCAGAAUUUAAUUGCUGCAGUGUCUUUGCAAUCAAGAAAUCUUAAUUGUUUAUUCUUAGAAAUUCACUUCCCAAGUACAAAAUGCAGUCAAUUAAUAAGGAUUAAAAAAAAAAAAAGGAUUAUUUUGUGUUCCCUCUUUUGCAUACUCCCGCGAAAUACCGAAUACGUUUCAAAGAAACGACACUGUAACCUACCUUGAAGUUUCACCUUCGGAUAUAAUUUUUUUCCAACAAAUAUUCCUUUUACUUCAUUUUUUUGGAAGUUUAAUUUUCCUUAACCUAAAUCUACAUGAAGUAGAAAGGCAGGCAGAUAAAAAUAUGUGUCCUAGUCUCCUGUAUGCAUUAAUGAAGAUGGUGUACUUGUUCUGAGUCAGAAAAAUAAUAAACGAUAAUCAACUCUUCAAAAGAUCUGAAAGAUAAGAAGAAACAAUCUCAAGAAAGUGAAUUUAGCUGAUUGAAAUCAGAAAAUCUAAAGUUACAUACACCUGUAUGUUGUUCUUUUUUGAGAAAAGAAUAUAUGCAUAAUUUGCUAGCUAUGUACUAGUUCUGGUGUUAGAAUAUAAAAUAUCUUUGAUUGAGAAAUAAAGACGGGACAGCCAAGAUCACCACCAUACCCACUCUGCAAAUCCAUCACGAAAAAUAGGUUUAGGUUACCUAACAUUUCACAGGUUUUUCUUUUUCAAGAAGAAAGCAAAUCAGACGUCCUUUUUUUUUUUUUUUUCCCUUCCCUAUCCAUUUCUGAACUUGUUUGUCUCUCUUACACCGCAGUGUCGUUUGAGCUACAGAAAGUUAAGAGGUUUUUUUGCUGUUUAGCUGCUGCAAUGGUAUAAUUACUUUUACUAAUUCUAGGAACCAUGAAUAUGGAAAAUUCUAUUACACAGCAUCAUUGAACCAUGAUCAGUAUUUUUUUGGUUCUUAUGAUUAGUUAUUACAAACGACAUAAAUCGAUGGGAAUGUGAUCGUGAUUUUUCCUUUAUUUUUUGUGCCAUUUAUUUUUACUGCUUGCUUCAGUUUUUGUUUCUAUUUCUUUAAGGAUAACAUCACCCCCACCUCCACACCCCCCCCACCCCCCCCCCCCCCCCCCCCUUAUGCCACCAAUUAACAGAAUUGAGUUAUUCUUUAGCUAAACAACAAGGAUUGCUUCGACUAAGGGCUUUCAAUUGUUGGAACCAGGCUUAUUAAAGAAAGUAUGAGCCUAUUUGUCGAUUCAACAUUAAUGUCUAUUUCUGUAUGUUCAAAUAAUUCAAGUUAAUAAAGCAAAAGAAUAUAUAUGUACUUGUGACGCUUGAAGUUUUCGUUUUCUUGUGUAUCCAUGGCUGUAAUUAGAAGAGUUUGAUAGUCAAUUCAGCAACUGAACUAUAAUAAUCUUAACCAAAACAAUCAUAGUACUUCUUCCAUCAGUCAUUUCAGAAUAUACAUCCCUGCAACUGCACUUAUUUCUCUUUCUUUGUCACUUAAAUUUUCGGGUUUGAUCCUCACACAACUUAAGUACUCGUGUUAAUAAACCUUCUGACCAAAAAAUUAACAAUUCCAAAAUCUAAACUAAUUCAAUUAAUCAAUGCAGCUUAAACCACUAAAAAAUAAACAAAUAAAUAAAACAGAAGAAGCUGCUUUAGAUACCUAUAUAUCAAACAGGUAUGUUGGCAUAUUAAAUUCCAAGCCAUUGUUUCAAGAAAAGUAUACAGCAGCAUCUUUUGAUUCCAGAUAUCUUAUAUACUGGGAUUCAGUACCGUCGAAGGGAUAACUUGAAAAUAUUCUGCUAAUAACCAACAUAUUUCUACUUAGAGAGGUUAAAACAUAAGGGCUCCAAGUAAAUGAAUAUAAAGUUUUUUAAGGCUUAGACUUCAUGUUAAUUCAAGUGACAUAAAACUCGAUUUCUCAUCCGAUAUGUAGAGAGCAAGGGAGCAUCAAAGAAUAAUUUAAAAUUUAAAUUUUCCUCCUACAGCCAUAUUGAAAAUACUUCUGAAGCCUAAAAGAUGUGAAACUAGAAUGUAAGAGUCUGAAAUCUGUAAAAAACAGUUGCAUGAUGAUUUUAACUAUCAUAUAUUAUACUCCUUCAUAAACUUGAGUUGAGAGUGUUGACAAACGACAACUAAACUAUUGACAACAUUGACACCACAAAUAUGAUGCCAUGGUUAACAUUUGACAGGCCUCUCACUUUCUUCCACAGCUUUCAACUUUGUUUCAGUUUUCGUGUCUAUUUCCUUAGCACGUAUGUUUCCUUUCCAACUUUUGCUCCAAUGUUCUUAGUUUUUUGUUCAUGUUGGUUCAUUUCGGUUGACUACUACUCCAACUGACCAACCAUUUCUCUCCUCUUCAUCCUCAUAUAAUUUAGGUUUCUCUUCCAUUCUCAAAUUGUUCCCUCUAAAAAGCGAGAGCAGCCAGUACAUGAAUCAUACAUAUGCACAUAACAUGUAUGUAUCAAAUGCAUUUAGAAAGAAUAAUGUGUAUUCCCAAAUCCUAUUAAUAUAAUGGAUUCAUGUCUUUCUUCUUAAUUCAACGGUAGAUAAUUAUUGUGGAUCAGCAAUCUUGAACAGUGGAUUCAACCAGGUAGGUAUAGAUGAUUCCUUGGUAUUUUCAGUCCCUCGAUAUUGCAUUUAAUUUUUCAAUAAGAUCUUGAACUUUAGGAUGUUACAUUUGGAUUUGACGUCAAGAAUAAAAUCUAACUUGUAUUUGACCUGAUUAUAUAUGAUAAUUAAUUAAAGACGAGAUUAGACCCGUCCAAUGCAGGCAGCAGUAUAAAGAAAAUGUUUAAUAAAUGAGGGUCUACGGCUAAAUUGUUAACAAAAAAUAACAUACUGAAAUGAACUAACAAUUCAUGAAUGUUCCAACCCGAAAACUAGCUAGAUAAAAAAAGGGAGAAAAAACAUUUAGUAAAGCUUACAUAGCUUAAGCACCUGGUGAACCAUAAAUCAGUCUCGACCUAACUAGUCACGGACCUGCCAAGGGAGGCUGUAAAGAAAAAUGGAAGAAAUAAUUAAUAUAGAGCUAAUUAUGUAUAUUUUGUAAUUUUUUGUUAGCAAACUUUUACCUUUUAAUAAUAUUAUGCUGGUCGAAUAUCGUACACAUACUGGAUUGCCUGAUUAUGCUACUAAUAUCCCAGUUCUCAGCUUCAUAAUUGGGAGAAGAUGAACGGCAAUUUGGAGCCAUAUCACUUGAAACUAUAAGGUUUUGCUCAAAACCUAGACUUGAAGAAGAAGGCCUUGAUUGGCUUGGAACGGGUGGGCUGAAAUCAGAAACCUGCUUGGCUUGAACAUUGAGGAGCCUUUUGCUGCACAGUUUCUCUCUUGUUCUUUCCCUUGCCCUUGCUCUUGAAUCUCUAGCAAUAAGUAAUGCUGCAGCCUGUUGUGGAUCCUUUGCUUCUUUACUGUUGGCAGCAUUUAUCAAUGAUUUUUUCUUUAAAUUUGUCCCCAAGGAUUCCCCGUUGUCAUUUGAUUUAUUAUUCCCGCAUUCAGAAGGGGAAGAAUGAAUAUUGUCGGUACUUUGUUUCGUGCGAAUCAGCUCCUUGAUUGCUGUUUUUGAUUUUUUCAGUAGCCAAUCAAGGGUUUUGCUUGGUUUGUCGACACCUAACAUUUCUUGAAGAUCAAAGAACUGGCGUGCAAUACUUAUGGAAAGCCGCACUCUUCGAUCCCUCGGACCUGUAGCCGUAAAUAUUUUGCUGUGCCUGUCAUUUUUCACCGUCCUUUUUCUUUUUGGAAAAGCAUUUAUAGUAGUCCCAAGAUCUACAUUUAGCCUGUCAAAAUCUUGAUAACCUAAUGCUGUGUCGCUUGGAACUGGCAAGUCAAUGGCGGCCUGAAGAACCGGAGCAUUUUCUGCGAAAUUAUAAUCGCUGGAAAGCAGAUCGUGGUGGUGGCGAAGCAAAAUUUCACUGCUAUUUAAGCAUAGAAAAGAGGUAGAGGCGUGAAAAGAAGGUACAAUCUGCGGAAGAAGGUGUGGAUUCUUCCUGGAAGAGAACAUUUUGAGUUAAGAUUGUAAUGGUGAACCCUAUUCUUUCAUUGGAUGUGAAGAAAAGAUCAGUUUCUCUUCUGGGAUUCGAGGGCAUGCUUGAAAUUAAGUGAAAACAUGUUAAUUAUUUAAAUUUACAAACGUGGCCAGUCUGUGAAAAACCUAGAUUACCUUGUGUGUGUCGAGGAAGAUGGAGGAGAGGAAAGAGGAGGAAAUUUCAAAGAUUGGGAGACCGUCGAGGCCGUACUUUUCAAAAUUUUAGCCACUUUGGGAAAAAAUAAUAAUAAUAAAUUAAAUCAAAUUGCUCUCGUUUGGACUCUAUUAAUUUGCAUUUCAUCACACUUUCAUUUGAGCCCCAUUAUUUUUCAUUACAUUAAAUUAAGCCCUUAUUUGAUUCUCAUUCUUCUAAAAAUUCAUUUUUUCAAAACUCAUUUUCAAUCAUACAUUUUUUAAUAAAAUAAUAUUACACGUAAAUUUAUAAUUUUUAUUUAAUUUUUAACCACACAUUCUUCAUCAAUCUACUAUUCAAAAUACAUUAUUUCCCUCAAAAUGGGAAUCAAACUAUGAUUAAAAUUUUCUCCCUCCCACUUUUAACUACACAAUUUUCAAUAAAAUAGUAUUACUCGUAAAUCAAAAAAAUUUCAACCACUCAUUUUUCAAAUAAAACAUUAUUCAAAACAUUAUAAUGAGAAAUAAUGGGGCUCAAAUAGAGUGGGACAUUACAUUUCUCUUUCUCUUAUUUUUAACCACAUAAUCUUUCAUAAAAUAAUAUUACAUGUAAAUUAAAAAAAUUUCAUUCUUUUUCAAUCACUCAUUUUUAAAAAUAUAUAUAUUACUCCACCCAUUUUCAUUUCCACAAAAUGGAGUCAAACGGGGCUUAAUUUUAAUUAUAUAUUUCAUAAUUUUACAAAGACACAUUCCAUUAACUGAUAUUAAAAAAUAUACAAAAAGUCCAAUUUUACACCAAAGAGGAGCCUGGACACUCGUCCGCCAUAAAACACUCGUCACGUUCAUAGUUAAAUUUGGGUUAAAUCUGUCAAUUUCUAAAUUUGUUAUUGGAUCCUUGUGCCAAGUUGAUUUCUGAGAAUUAUGUGAUCAAUAGUGAUUUUUUGAAAAAUGUAUAGUUAAAACGUAAGAAAAAAUUAUUUAAAAUGAUUUAUUUAGAAAGGAAAAAUCCGUGAAUAUAAAAAAAAUGUUAGCAGAAUUCAUACCAUUGCUAGCGUGGCGUUGCAUGAGUGGCCAUUUUUCUUCUCUUUCUCCAUCUUCUAAUAAUUUCACUCUAUAUGUUGUCUGUCAAAAUUUCUGAACUUAUAAGUUAUACCAUGAUCGAUUUAGAAAAUUUGUGGUCAGAAAAUUAAACCUAAUUGGGUUUUUAAGUUUAUUUUCUCACAAGUCGGGUCACACAUUUAAUGGUUUUUAAGUUUAAUUUUUUACUCAUCAUAUAUUUAUUAUAUAAAAAUUAAUUUCAAUCUAUUUUUAGUUUUUAUUUUAUAUUUUCACGAAUCCCAUUGAGUAAUAUAUCUUAAGCUUAAUUUAAAAUUAGAAUUCCCCUAAUUCUUCUUUUAAGAAUUUCUUUUCUAUUCUCAUUCAUUUUCACUUUUGCAACCAUAUUUCCUUUUCAUUCCAAUUUAUAGAUAUUUUCACCAUAUUAAAUUAGUAAUCUCUAUAUUGAAACCUUAAUUAUAUCAAACAAUCAAAUACUUCAUCGGCAAGAAAUAAAUCUAUGUCAUGUUUCAAAAAUCAUUUCAUGUCAAUAUUUUUGAAUUAUGCUUGUCUCAAUCACACCAUAUAAAAUUGACAUAACUUAACCCUGAAAGAUAGUUCAGUGGUCAGUCAUUUAGUUUGCUCUUCAAUGGUUAUCAAUUCAAUUCCUUUUAGGACCACUAAAGUGAGUACACAGCUAUAAAUUUCAAGGCCCCAUGAGAUUAGUCGAAGUGCAUGUAAGUUAACCCGGACACCCAUGGUCAUAAAAAAUAAAAUAAAAUCGACAUAACUUUUUGGAUGAGACAUGUGAGGGAACACAUGUCACAUUUAGAUGAUUUAAGGACGACGCAUGCAGCAAUCUCGACACAUUUUGUAUGUAUUCAUCACAACUUUGAGGUAAAAUAAGAUCACACAGACACCAAUAUCAUUACAUAGGGGUAUGCACAACGGAGGUCACAAUUAUAUUUUAGUUAAAGAAAGACAUCACAUAUAGGGGUAUGCACAACGGAGGUCACAAGUAUAUUUUAGUUUAUGAAAGAUAUCACAUAGGGUUAUGCACAACGGUGGUCAAAAAUAUAGUUUAGAUAAACAAACACAUGGUCAAAUGUUCUAGAAAUCACCCAAAAAAAUAAAUAAAUAAAUAAAAAUUCGCAAAUAGGAGAUUACAUAACGACGAUGACAAAUCAUAGCAUCUACAUUCACUGGUCCUAUGGACAAUGAUAUUAGAGGUCACAACAUAAGUAAAUUGCUACCCUUUCUCACUUUCAAUGUCACGACACAAAAAGUGAGAUAACUGGAUGACUAUAGAGAAAGAAUAACUAAUUUAUUGAAAUUUAGGAUGGAAAAUGGUGGAAGAGAAAAUAUAUUUAUAUAUUUCAUGUUUUAUCCUUGAUAUCAAAAAACUUUGAUAAUAUUCAUUAUCAUGUGUUACGUUUGGAAUAUUUAUUGUCUACUAGAUGCCACUUUAGCAACAAAAGGGUCCAUCACACUCCCACGCGUCAUAGAACGAAAAUUUAUGCUUGGAUUGCCGAGGCAUAUCGGAAAAAAAAAAAGGUGCCUCGACCAUCUAAGCUCUGCUAAUCGAUAAACUAUGCAGAACCCAAUCAUUUGGCUAAAAAAUGUGGGAAGCCUCAGCCAACAACAGAAUUAAAGUCAUCGACUCAAUCUCGAUCAUACAUGAAAAAGUUAGUGCGAAUCUUAACAGAAUCAACGUAGGCUUCAGUGCUAUAAACACGUGUGUUCACGACGAAUUUUAUGACAAGCAAAAAUAUAAACAAAACCUUGAAAAUUGAACUUAAUUAUAACUUCCAACACACAAGAAUAACCAAAUCCACAACUCCNNNNNNNNNNNNNNNNNNNNNNNNNNNNNNNNNNNNNNNNNNNNNNNNNNNNNNNNNNNNNNNNNNNNNNNNNNNNNNNNNNNNNNNNNNNNNNNNNNNNNNNNNNNNNNNNNNNNNNNNNNNNNNNNNNNNNNNNNNNNNNNNNNNNNNNNNNNNNNNNNNNNNNNNNNNNNNNNNNNNNNNNNNNNNNNNNNNNNNNNNNNNNNNNNNNNNNNNNNNNNNNNNNNNNNNNNNNNNNNNNNNNNNNNNNNNNNNNNNNNNNNNNNNNNNNNNNNNNNNNNNNNNNNNNNNNNNNNNNNNNNNNNNNNNNNNNNNNNNNNNNNNNNNNNNNNNNNNNNNNNNNNNNNNNNNNNNNNNNNNNNNNNNNNNNNNNNNNNNNNNNNNNNNNNNNNNNNNNNNNNNNNNNNNNNNCACAAAAUAAAUAAAUAAGUGGUUCUAUAAAUAGUCAUUCACCCAACUUAAAAAGGUUGAAAACAUAAGAUCGAAACUUUCACUAUCAAAAGUGGAAAUUACAAUAGACCAGAGUUUUAAACUUCAAAUUUCAAAAUAAAGAUUUACUAGUUUUCUUUUCAAAAAUUAGAUGAUAAAUGAUAUUUUAAAUAUUAAUAUUUAUAUCACAAAAUAUUUAAUUCAUCCCACCUAACAUAUACUCAACCACCCACACAAACCUUAAAUUAUUUUCAUCUCUCAUCUCCCUAUCCCACCGGAAGUUGUCGUUGGAAGCCAUUGCCAGAGAGCAUAGUCGAUUACAUCGCUACACGAUCGACUGUUGCUUUUGAGUGAUCAUAUGUUGCUACUGUGCGUUCCUCCUCACUCCAUCCUAAAUCUAUUUUUUUUUUUCGAUUUUGGUGGCCAAAGGUUUUUUUUGUGCAGUUCGAUUAUGGUGUGAUGUGGGUGUGGUGUUGCGUUGUGGUUGUGUUGUAUUGUGUUUGUGUGGUGUGUAGUGUGUAGUGGCGGUGUGCGAUGUGUGGUAGUGAUGAUGGUGUUGUGCGUUGGGGAGAGUGUUUGGUCCAUUUAUUUGGGUGGUCAUGGUGGUGCGGCGAUGGUGUUCUAUGGUGUUGCGGGCGAUGGUGUUCGACAGUGGUGGAGAUGGUCUAGAUGGUAGGUGCAAGCGAUUGUGUUUGGCGGUGGUGGAGAUGGUGGUUGUGGUGAUCACGGUGGGUUUAGUGGUGUUUCGGUGGCGGUGGUGAUGUUGAUGAUUUUGGUGUGGUGGUGGUGCAGUCGUUGUGGGUAGAUAGUGGUGGUAGUGAUAAUGUUGGUUGUGGUGUUUGAGAUGAUGAUUUUACUAAUGGGAGAUGGUGAUUCUGAUGGCGAUUUUUUUUUUGGUAGCGUGCGACUAAUGACAAUGGUGAGGUGGUAGUCACAAGGGUUGGUAGUGGUCACAAAUAAUUUAAUUGAUGUGUGACCAAUAAAUAGUAAGUGAGUAAAGAAAUAGAUAAAUUGUGACUAAUAAAUAAUGUAUGAUCUAAAAAUUUGUUAAUAUGUGACUAAUGAUUUGAUAAUUUGUGGCCUAAACAUCAUUUAUGGUUAAUUAAUUUGAUAUUUUAUGACUAAUGAACAAUAUGUAACCUAUUAGUUUGAUAAAUUUGUGACCUAAAAAUUAUUUGUAAUCAAUUAAUUCAAUAAUUUGUGACCAAAUUGUAUAAAAUUGUAACCUUAUAUUUAAUUUAUAAAAUAUACUUUUAAUUAAUUAUUUCAGAAAUCAAAUUUAAAAAAUAUAUGAUUUUUGAAAUUUUAAUCAUUUUAUCUUAGUUUUGAAACGAGUUAUAGAUAAACUCUUAAUUAUGAAUUUUCCCCCAUCUAGAAACAGCAUCAAAAAACAAAGAAAAAUUGAGAACAACACUUCGGCCAAUAUAACGUUGGAACGUCCAUCUUACUCCUUUUUCUCCAAACAAUCUGCCUGCAAACACACCCAAAAUUCUCGAAAGAAGGAAACUCUACUAAAUUUGUACAGAAAACUUGAGUGUAUUUUAGGUCAAUAUCUUAUAUAAAUUUAUUCUGUCUUUUUUUGUGAAACGAUAUGUGUAUUAUGAACUAAUUUUUACAAACUUCUUCAAAUUUUGAUAUUUGUAAAAAUGAAAAUGUAAAUAAUAGUAUUUACGAUUUUUUUCCCUUUUGUAUUAUUGAUUUAACUACAGAUAGGCUUGGAAAAUGAUUUUUGGAGAAAUUAGGCCCACUACUUCAAAAAAAAUUAAAAAUAGGGAACAAUAAAUAAGACAAGUAUAUAGUAUGCAACAUUUCAUAUAUAAGAAACACGCCAAUAAAUAUCUGAAAUCAGGUUAUAAAUGUUUUAAUAUUAUAUAUUAUAUAUAAUAUAUAUUAUAUAUGGAAUAUAUGUACAUAUGGAAUGAUUAGAUUUGGUCCCUAAUAUCAUGCAUUCAGUUACCCAUUAGAACUUAAAUCUUCACAAAAACUGCCUCCUCGUUUCGGGAUGAAAAGCCACAAAUCAAAUAUCAAAACGGUAGAUUUCUUCCCCAUUGCCGCCGACGGAACUUGCAUUUGAGAAGUAGUGGUUCAAUUUUAGUCACAAAUAAUCUGUAAGUGAUUAUACGCGUCCUUGCAUUUGAGAGAAGAAUGACAGAGUGCUAUAGAGAGCUCGUGAUGCCAACUUCUCGAUCCUCGUAGUCGAAAUAUGGCUCAAUCAAAAUUAGUGAAUUAUUGAUGUCACAAAUUGGAAAUUAUUAGCAAAAAGGAGUAGAUAUUUUCAAAGUUACUGUAACAGACGUAUGGUUUAUAGAGGUAAGGAAUUGAGUUUGAUCAUCAUCCUUAAAUAAUUUUGAUCAUGUUCGAAGUCACAAUUUUUUGAAUGAAACCAUUCUAUUGUAACCGGAUCUUCCAAUAUUUUAAUUUACAAAAUCAGCUGCAUUUAAAUUCUGUGAAAUAUAGAUGUUGUAACUUGUAUUUAAGUUCUUUGUAACCCUGCAUUAUAGAAGCUUUGACCUAUAUUUCAUCUGUGUGACUAAAUCCAGUGACAUAUAGAUGUUAUCACGUGUAGAUGUUGUGACAUGUAUUUAAGCACUCUAUGACUUAUAUUGUAGAUAUUGUGACCUGUACUUAAAUCCUUUAAAUGUAGAUGUUAUGGCAUGUAGAUGUUGUGACUUGUAUUUAAGCUCUUUGUGACCUGCAUUCCUUUAAAUGUAGAUGAUGUGACUUGUAUUUAAGCUCUUUGUGACCUACAUUGUAGAUGUUGUGGCAUGCAUACAAACUCUAUGACUUUUGUUUAAUUUUGUAAAAUGUAGAUAAAUGUUGUGACCUUUAUGUUUUUGUGACUAAAAUUUUUCAUCACUGUUUGUAGGCAUUUCCUAACAAUCAAACCAUCUUUUCGGCUAGUGAUGGAAGCUCAUCUCUGUGAUUGAUAUAGAUCAACGUACAUGAACCAGUAGGACGCUACAAUUGUGACCCGUGAUCGAUUUACAUUGACUUGUGACCUGUGACCAUUGCACAUUGAUUUGUGACCUUGACAUAAAUUAGAAUGUAAUGUAAAAUAUGAACAUAAAUCAGUGAAUGGUGACCAUUGUACAUUGAUUUGUGACUUGUACACAUUGUCCUAUGACCUCAAAUUAGAAAGCAAGAUAUGACAUGUGACUAGUGAACUUGACAUGUAAACAGUGCACGUUGAAUCGUGACAUGUGACAUAAAUCAUACUGUAAAAUGUGAAAAUAUGAAUCAAUGAUCUGUAACUCGUGACAUAAAUUUAGAAUACAAAAUAUGAACAUUACUCAGUGAACAAUUACUUGUUGCCCCUAACAAUGACUUGUGGCCUUAAAUUAGAAUGCAAAGUAACCUUAUGACAUAUAUCAUAUAAUAAUUCAAAUAAAAUACGUUACAAAAUGGAAAAGAACUUACAACCUGCAGAAAAUGCAAAUACCUUAAAAAAUGAAUAAAAUUUCAUCACCAACAUUAACAAACUAAAACAACUGUAUUACUCAAAUCGAACACAAAUCCCAGUCAUAAAUAUUACAAAUUUUUUAAACAAGAAAAUUGAUGUUGAAUUAAAAAUAGAGUAGCCCAUGUGGGAACAAUCAAUCUAGCAUGGUGCUAUUUUCCUUCUUCUUGCCCAGCUUUGUGAUCAGCCUGAUCUGCCUAUGUUUAAACAUUGGGGAAGCUAUAGCCAGCUUAAACAGAACUCCACAACUAGAAUCUAACAAAGCAACCUACUAUCUUGAUCCGCAUCUUAUCAGGGUCCGACUGUUUCAUCUCACUCAAUAAAAAAUAGUGGAUCAAUUGAGGUUAAACCACAAUUUCAUGACAGUCAAUGAAGUGUAAGAAACAUGUAUUUGCUAGUAUAUCUCGUUGGAAUUUGUAGAAUUUUGUUAUGAAAUUGGUCAUAACACUUUUUGUCGUGUUUAAUGUAAUUUUUCCUUGAAACCAACAGUUUUCAAGAAUAAUGUACGGAAGUUCCUACAUUAUUUGUAUAGAUCAAGACAACAUUAAAAUCAAAUAUGAAAUGGUAAAACAAUCAUGUCAUAGGUAAACGUACAAUAAUAUCUCACUUCACAUAUAUAAAAAAUCCAAUCACAAGUUCUGGUUCUUAAUGCAAUGUCACAUAAGGUAGAUCACGUUCAUCAUACUGCCUUUUCAACAUACAUCCAACAUAGUUUAUUAGAUCAGAUAGUAAUUGAGGUUACAGUUCUAGAUUAUGUAUACAUAUAGACAAUGUAAAAAUCAAAUAUGGAAUGGUGGAACAAUCAAGUCACGGAUUAACAUACAGUAAUAUAUUUCUCAAGUCACAUACAUAAAAAAUUCAUUCACACGUUCUGAUUCUGAACGCAAUUCUAGAUUAAUAUCACAAAUAUUCAAUAUUAUUCGCAAUACUUGUGACCAUCAAUUGUGACUUUCAUAAAUAGUCUUCAAAUAAAAUAAACAACACGAAAUUGAAAUUACCUUCUCCGAAGUCGAUUAAAUUCUAAUUCGAAACAUUUCAAUUUCUUGUAUUUAGGUUCUUUUGUAUUUUAUCUGUCUUUCUCUUAUCUUUCCUAUUCCGGCCUCAUUGAUAAGUGUGUUUAUGCACACUUAUUUAGGUCACAAACAUGACUUAAAAACGAGCAAAAUGAUUGAAUUGUGACUUAAUCUUGUACAUUUGUGAAUUGUAGGAAACAACAAUGAACAUGGUGAAAUUCAGGAGAAAAGACGCGAAAAAGGACUAAAGUGACGCAAAGUGAAAGUUCAGGGACCAAAAGUGCAAAUAUCCAAAAGUUGAUCCAAUGAACAAAUUGAGAAAUCGAUUAGGCCAAUUACCAAUUGACGAUAUCGUGGGGUGAUGAAAUGAAAAGAAUGAAGAGAAGAUGCUAAGAAGUGAAGGAUACAAGUGAGAGGACCAAAACGCAAUUUCUACCAUAGUUGAUAGUACUAUGUGACCGCAUAGUACUAUCCUCUAUGCAGUCGCAUAGUACCAUACCGAAAUCAAAGAGGCUUGAAAAGUUUACUCUAUGCGACCGCAUAGAAUUGCUCUAUGCGGUCGCAUAGAGCAAAUAUUAAGGAAAAAUUUAGUUUCCUUUUUCUUCUGAAACUCUUAUGGAAACAACAAUUUUAGGGUCCUAUAAAUACAGAAACUCGACCAGAACGAGGGGGACGCCGUUUUUACAUGUUUUUGCGAGAUUUUGAAGGAGAAACGAGGGAGAGAACGAGAGAACAACAUCGCGCCAAUUGAAGAUCGGAUUGAAGAUUGAUUCGGGUGAUGUCGUUUCUUCAAAUAUUUUUAAGUUUUGUUCUUUUUAGCAUGUUAGGCUAGAUUUAUCACUACUAGGAGAUUGAUGAACCUUGUAAUACUACGUUUAAUUGUUGUUUUGGAUUUUUGAUGUAUUUGAACACUAAUUCCGGAAUUGAUUGAUUUAUUUCAUUUUUAUUUUCAUAUAAUUAUUGUGCACGUAAUUAUAUGAUUGUGGUGACCUGUUUUAUGCAUUCAAAAGAAGAAAAAUAGGUUCGACAUAGUAUAAAUUAUCAUAGGGUCCGAUAGAGGAUAGAAAUAUACGUCUAUGUCUUGUGUGAAUUGUUGGAUAUUCGUGAUUUUAUAAUGCAUGUCGGUAUAUUAGUAUUCGUCAUAGAAAUAUAGUCGAAUCAUAUAUUGGGAUAGGUUUGGCAUUGCUCGAGAGAGAUUGCUAAAUUAAAAUAGGAAUAUCGAUUCAUCUUUUGUGGAAUUGUGUGUCAAAUUUGUAUAAUUGACAAUUGAAAGGGUAUUGCUUGGGGAUUCGUGAUCCUAGUGUGUUAGAACAUCCAUUAAUUCUAUAAAAUUCUAGUUAAAUUGCAUCCAAGUUACUUUGAACUUAGUAAAAUCCCUCAUCCAUAAUUGUAUCAAUGAUUAUAUUUUGUUAGUUAAAAUACAAAAUCGCAAUUUGGUUGUCGUGUUUCGGUUAAGGUCAUAUUAGAUUAAUUCGAACUAAUUCAAUCCUCGUGGGAUCGAUACUUGGACUUAUAGUCUAUUUUACUACUUAUGAACGAACCGUACACUUGCAGUGGAUUUAAAAUCGGAAUAAACAAUUUUUCGAACAAGUUUUUAGCGCCGUUGUCGGGGAUUGAAAUUUAGUUUUAAUUUUAUCUUUUAUGACACUAAUUCGAACUUAUCUAGAUUAGUAAUAGUUAGCUUACUAGGUUUAGUUUAUUAUUACUUCAAGUUAAUUUUGUAUUGAUUUUGCAAUCUCAGGGCUUGUAUACAAGGAGCACCUAAUCAAGAUCUGGUUCUCAUAGAUCUAGAGAUUGAACGCACAUUCCGUCACAGGCAAAGAGAAGCAAGAGCGGCACACCAAAUGGCUAACGAGCAAAAUCGACCGGUAAUUCCACUCAACGAAUGCAUGGCAGUUGAAGAUGAUGAGAAUACAGUACUCGGGGACUUCGUGGCUCCGUUAGUGGUCCGAAGUCAAUCUAGCAUUGUGUAUCCUCCAUUUGGGCAACCGAACUUCCAGCUGAAAACAAAUGUGAUUCAAUUAUUUCAGAAUGGGCAUCAAUACCACAUGAUGGCUAGUGAGAACCCACAUACACACAUAUCCCGAUUUCUGGAUAUGUGCCAACACUUCAGGUACCAGGGUAGGGUAUCUCGGACGAUGCUAUAAGACUGCAGUUGUAUCCACACACCUUGCGGGAUAAGGCACUUGAAUGGUUGGGUUCGCUUCCCGUUGCAAGCAUCACCACCUGGAACAAACUAGCCCACAAAUUCUGCACUAAGUUCUUCUCGCCAGCAAAGAUAGCCAAAAUGCGGCAUGAUAUCUCUAUUUUCAACCAAGGUAAGUCUGAAUCAUUUGAAGAGGCAUGGAAUCGUUUCAAGAAUAUGUUGAGGAAGUGCCCGCAACAUGGCUUUGACAAGAAGACACAGAUCUGAUUUUUCUACAUUGGACUACUUCUAUCCUUCAAGAGCAUGGUUGAUUCCUCAUCUGACGGGUCUAUCUCCAUGAGAACAGUUAAUGGAGCAUGGGAGCUAUUUGAGAGAAUGGCAACAACUUCAGUCAUGUGGUCUAUAGAUCGAGUGGUUCAGAAGAGAUUGUCGGGGGUUUAUGAAGUAGAUACUUCUUCCGCACUAUCUGCAAAGAUAGACUCUUUGUUCCAUAAGGUUGAGAGCAUUUCACAGACUGCCACUGCUAAACAAGUCAAGAAAUCGAGUUGUGAAGAAUGUGGAGUAGACCACAAUAUUGUUAAUUGUCCAAUUCUCGCACAAGGGGUCGAACAUGCAGAUUUUGUGCAAUGGGGUCAACGCCAACAGAAUAACCCACAUUCGAAAACCUUCAAUCAGGGCUGGAGAAAACACCCAAACUUCUCAUGGAGCAAUCAGAAUCAAAACAGACCACAAAGUCAAUAUCAGCAGCAGGAUAAAAAGCCACCAUUGGAAGAGAUGUUUGAAAAGUUCAUGGUGACAACCAAUCAGUAUAUGGAAGCCAACAAUCAGUUUAUGCGAAAGACAGAUGCAACUCUUCAAGACCAAAGUGCAGCAAUAAAAAAUUUGGAGACACAAAUGGGACAGAUGACAAUCUCCAUUACGGGUAGAGCACCAGGAAAUCUGCCCAGCAACACUGAAAUCAACCCUAAGGAGCACGCAAAGGCUAUAACAACCAGAAGUGGAGUACAACUACCGGAGAUACAUGUCAAAAGAUUGGUAGCUAGUAAGGAAUCAGCACCAACCUCGGAUGACGAAAUUGUGGAACAAACUAAACAAACAACAGGGAAUGUGGUCGAGGAGAAUUCCAAUACAUCACGGGAUGACAUUCCUAUCAACCCUCAUGAGCCUUCUAUUCCAUUUCCGCAGAGAUUGAAAAAGCACAAAUUGGAUCAGCAAUACAGUAAAUUUCUUGAAGUCUUCAAGAAACUACACAUCAACAUUCCAUUUGUUGAAGUACUUGUUCAGAUGCCAAGUUAUGCAAAAUUCUUGAGGGAUAUCCUCUCCAACAAGUGAAAGAUAGAAGAACACGAAAUAGUGAUGCUAACUGAGAAGUGCAGUGCCAGAAUCCAGAGAAAGUUGCCUCCAAAACUAAAGGAUCCAGGGAGUUUUACUGUACUUGACACUAUAGGAAAUUGUCAUUUUGAUAAAGCAUUGUAUGAUUUAGGUGCAAGUAUUAAUUUAAUGCCUCUCUCUAUUUUCAGAAAACUCGGCUUGGAAGAAGCUAAAGCCACAACGGUUACAUUACAGUUAGCAGAUAGAUCCCUUACACAUCCAAGAGGGAUCAUUGAAGACGUAUUGGUAAAAGUGAAGAAGUUCAUAUUUCCAGCCGAUUUUCUUAUCUUGGAUAUGAAGGAAGAUAAGGAUGUUCCACUUAUAUUGGGGCGACCUUUCCUAGCUACUGGAAGAGCGAUUGUUGAUGUUCAGAAAUGGCAGCUUAUAUUGAGGCUUGGCGAAGAGCAAAUCUCAUUCAACGUGUUCAAGGCAAUGAAAUUCCCGACUGAGUCAGACAGCUGUUUCCAGAUCCAUGUAAUUGACAGAAUAAUUUAAGAUACAUUUCGGCUACAUCAUCCUUCCGAUGCUUACGAGGCGUGCAUUGCACAUUCUCAAUCCACUCACACUGAUUCGAGUGAUAUUGAAACAUGUGCAUAAUUUUUGGAAACUAAUCCGCCAUACAUGCGUAGACGUUACUUCUAAGAGUUGGGAACCAAGAUUACACAGUCAGUGCAAUCUAUUCAACAAGCUCCCAAAUUGGAACUCAAGUAACUGCCACCACACCUGAGAUUUGCUUACCUGAGGGAAUCUUCUACACUUCCAGUUAUUAUUUCGAGUACUGUUAGUGAGGUGGAGGAAGAGAAACUACUUCGGGUGCUAAGGGAGAAUAAAACAGCCAUUGGAUGGUCGAUUGCAGAUAUUAAGGAGAUCGGUCCGUCGCUAUGCCUACACAAAAUACUCAUGGAGGAAAAAUUUAAACCAAGCAUUGAUGGUCAGGGGAGAUUGAAUCCACACAUGAAGGAAGUGGUUAGGGCUGAGGUAUUGAAGUUGCUCGAUGCCGGCAUCAUCUAUGCAAUAUCAGAUAGUGCUUGGAUCGGUGCAGUACAAGUUGUUCCCAAGAAAGGGGGUAUCACAGUGAUAGAAAAUGAGAAAAAUGAGCUGAUUCCUACACGGACUGUGAUUGGAUGGAGAGUAUGCAUCGAUUACCGCAAACAAAAUGCUGCUACUCGAAAGGAUCACUUCCCACUACCGUUCAUUGAUCAGAUGCUGGAGAGACUAGCAGGGCAUUCGCAUUAUUAUUUUCUGGAUGGAUAUUCCGGGUAUAAUCAGAUUCCUGUAGCACCUGACGAUCAGGAGAAGACAACUUUCACUUGCCCCUACGGUACCUUUGCAUACCGUAGGAUGCCGUUUGGUUUAUGCAACGCUUCCGCAACUUUUCAGCGCUGCAUGAUGGCUAUCUUCUCAGAUAUGAUUGAGAAAUUCAUCGAGGUAUUCAUGGACGAUUUCUCCGUGUUCGAGUCUUCGUUUGAUGAGUGCUUGGAGCAUUUGAGUCUUGUGCUACAGCGGUAUACGGAGACUAACUUGGUAUUGAAUUGGGAGAAAUGCCACUUUAUGGUACAGGAAGGCAUCGUGCUAGGACACAGAAUCUCAGCAAAGGGUAUUGAAGUGGACAGAGCAAAGAUUCAGGUGAUCGAGAAAUUAUCGCCACCUACAUCCGUGACAGGUGUUCGUAGUUACCUCGGGCAUCCUGAUUUCUACAGAAGGUUCAUCAAGGAUUUCUCAAAGAUUACUAAACCGUUGUGCUGUCUGUUGAUGAAGGAAUCCAUAUUUGAGGUCACCGAUGAGUGUCUGCUCGCUUUUAACACUUUGAAGGAGAAGUUGAUUUCAGCACCCGUGAUCAUUACACCAGAUUGGAAUCUGCCAUUUGAAUUAAUGUACGACGUCAGUGAUUAUGCUGUUGGGGCUGUCUUGGGACAACGAAGAAAUAAAAUAUUUCACGUGAUUUACUAUACAAAUAAGACCUUGAACGACGCUCAACUCAAUUACGCCACUACAAAAAAAGAGCUCAUUGCCGUAGUCUACGCCUUUGACAAAUUUCGGUCAUGUCUCAUGGGAUCAAAGGUCAUCGUUUACACAGAUCACACUGCUAUCAAGUACUUAAUGGAAAAGAAGGAUGCAAAGCCCUGUCUCAUUCGUUGGAUACUGUUGCUUCAAGAGUUUGACUUGAAAAUUAGGGAUAAGAAAGGCAGUGAAAAUGUAGUGGCAGACCACUUCUCUCAACUCGAGGCCAAAGAACAGACAAAAAUAGUGGAAAUCAACGAAGUCUUCCCAGAUGAACAGAUUUUUGGUUUGGGGGAGGCACCCUGGUAUGCGGACAUCGUUAACUACUUAGCCAGGUCUAUCAUGCCGCCUGAUUACUCCAGUCACCAG